CAAAAUUCGUCCAUUGUGGACACGACUAAAACUUUCCUAAAGAUAAAAACAAAAUGGCAGACUCUUACCAUAUCUCUAAUUCAAACUGACAUUAAAAUCCUAAUUAAUACAUACAAUUGCCUUAAAUGAGCUCUAUCUCUGUAUGUCAAUGAUGGUUAUCUUAAUUGAGGACCAAACCGAGCCUCAAGUUGUAUCGGCUGCUUUCCAUAUUGUCUCACUCAAACCCUGACUCUGUUGAACCUAGUUCAUGGCUUACCAAAUUUAGUCGUUAACAGUUGUCAGCCGAUGCGUAAUCUAUUUUGGUAAGAUCCAAUCUCCUUGAAAUCCGCUUCGAUAUCCAACUCCAAAUCCGAGUCUAACUUGCCAAAUUUCACUGUUAAGACAUGAAUUCUCUCCAAUGUUUUGCCACUGGAUGACAGUCUCUUUAACAUCAUCUCAUUUAUCUUGGUUUGGCAAUAGACAUGAUCUUUCAAGGAGGGUUAAUUGGGAUUGAAGUUAUCAUUGUUGCCUCCUUGAUAGUAUGAGCAUGGUUGAUUCCACCCCUAGACUCCUUGUGAACGGUACCCGUUGUUGUUGUUUAUGAAGAAGACAUCUUCACAGGUCUUGGGGCAAUCAUUCCUCGACUGUCCAGUAUUGUGGUAGGUCUCACACGUCAUACAGACGUCCAAGACCUGGACUAUACCGUACAUUUUCGACUUGUGUCGAGCGCGUUCAUCCAAGCGCUUUAGGGGGAGGUCCAUCUAAGAAGCGAGCAUGUUUGUCUCCUUAACGGUGUGCAUGCCCCGUUGACAAGAUUGGAGUCGACCUUCACUCCAUCCUUGAUUGGAGACCAUCUUCUCAAUUAGUUCUAAUGCACGAGCGAUAGUAAGUGAGAAGAAGGCUCCUUCAGUAGCAGCGACAAUAUGGUCACGGGCUGACUGCAUCAAUCCGUUUAGAAGUUCUAGAUGAUAAGCCAAUUGUCCAUCCCAUGGUAAGGACAAGUCAUGGUGUAAUCUUGGAGCCUCUCCCAUGCCUCUGGCAUCGGCUCAUUGUUGGCUUGCUGGAAACAUGAAAUUCUCCAACAAAGGGUGUUGGUUUUGCCCAUCAGAAAGAAGUUAGCUAGGAAAGCAAUUGAGCACCUCACCCAAGUGUCUAUGGCACCUCUCUUGGAGUAGAACCAUUGUUUUGCACUCCCGAGUAGAUGGAACAGAAACAGACAGAGCCUGAUGGCAAUAGUUUCAUAUAGCUCAAGGAAUUGCUAGAGUUGUACGUUCGUAUCCUCAUUGGCCUUCCCGUAGAACAGGAUGGCCUGCACCAUAGUGAUCAGACCAGUCUUGAUCUCAAAGUUUGCAUCCCAAGUAUGGAUGGUUGGCCCAACGUGCACAUUGGAAGAAGAGGGAGCCGACUACUCACGAAUGGUCUUCUGCGCCAUCAGCUACGAGUGAUCUGGUGCAAAGAAAACUGGUUCAGGUGCCAAGAGCCUAAUUUGCGAAGGAACGACACGAGGUCGGAUUCUUCUCGUAAGCUUCUCUGGAUUAUCAACGAAGUCUGUCGGCAGGUUAAAACUAGUGAUGCAUUACCUAUUUUCACAUAAAAGAGAAAAUACAUCGAGGUAAACAUGUUUGGACUAGGGUUUCAUUAAUCAUAAAAUGAUUAUAGACAUAUAAACUAUAUCUUAAAACCAGUGUCUUCCCUGGCAACAACGUGAGAAAUGCUUGUUGGUAUUUUUUAUGUUCGUAGAUAAAUUCGCAAGCGCACGGAUACUGCUGUAGCAUUUCACCCAUGUGUAUUUCCAAGGGCAUCGUAUUUAUAUUUCUGCAGGGAAAGCGGUGGCACAAAGAUAUGGUUUAUAUCUCUAUAAUCAAUCUAUAAUUUAUUUACCAUAGGAAAAAUAGGGGUUAGGAUAAUAAUUGAUAGGUAGUGAACACACAGGAGAUUCACCUCUAUAUGAAUAUCCAGAAGGAAAUUAGCUUUAGGAAACUACAAUACACAUGUACUUCUAUACUAAUCAUGUCUAUUAUACACUUAACAUACACAUGCUUACAACAUAGGACUUAGUUCCAGGCACCCAGGUACUACCGCCCUAUUGGUCUGCUAGCAUAGUUAUGACAUUUACACACUCUUACAUCAUACCCACCUACUGCCCACCUCACUUUCCGUGGGGCACACCCGCAUCCAACGAUAUUUAUCUAACCUAAGCAUCAUGCUUAUGCUAGUAAAUAAUAUCACUAACUCUCCCAGGACUCUCAUCCUACUGAUGAACAGCUUGAAGCUAGAGCAACCUAGCUAUAAAGGUCAUUGGACCGUUACCGUAGCAUGGAUCGACUAGCCUAGGAUGAUGUAGAUAUACAAAGUAUAUAAUGCUCAUAGAACAUAUAUUUAAUAAAGAAAUAUAUAAACCAUGAGCAUAAAUAAAUUAAGAAGAUAAUUAUGUUUAUUCAACUAUGGUCUUACAAGAAUAGUAAAGUGCUAAAGACAUACCCAAAACUCCGAGAAGACUAUUUGACUGAAGCUCCUAACCUUUAUUCCUACUAAAACUAUAGAGAAUACAAAGUGGAAGAGGAAAUUUGCUCCUUGUGGUGUGUGUUCUAAGUGAAGAGAGUGAACUCCUUAAAUAGGCUACUAGUGACGGUUAUAUGGCUGCUAAACACCCACAAACACCAUUGGGAGCCAAUGAGGAGUCAACACGUGGACGAUGGAGAUGUGGCACUGCUAUGACAGGUUUUGGCCGAACCCUCGGCAACGGCUCUCUCCACCACCUUUGGUAAGUGGCUGCCAGGUGGGCCCUUGGUCGAUUCCCGGGUGGUUGGCCCCACUUUAAGUCCGUUUGAGCUGACUUGUGAGCCUCUCAAUCUAUAGUGUGUUUCAUUGCAUGUUGGUUUCAUUUCUCCUUCACUUUGGUGUAUAAUUCCUACUUCCAAGCUAAUUCUCAAAUCCUAAUACAACUACAUUAUUUAUUAUUGGUAUAUGUGUAAGAAAUGCUAAUUUUCCCUUUAUUCAUAUGCUAGUUGUUGGUCGAGAUUGGUACUUAACGGUCGUCAACAUGCAUUAUUUAGUCUUCAUUGUGGCUCUCGAGAAGGCACACAAGAAGGGUCUAAAGGAGUGCGAUGAGUACAAAGGGUAGGACUAAUGCCUUUGAGGCCUUGAAGUGAGUAACCUAGCAUAGAGCGAAGGUUUUUUAACACAGCUGUGAGUUUGGAGGUCUCAUCAUCAAAAAGCUUCUCUCUUAUGAUGACUGGCAACUCCAUAUCACCAUGCAAGAAAGCAUAGUGAAUACCUGAAGGAAGAGAUUUGAGCUCAACUAGUGGUUGUGAAGGUGGAUCAGUUUUGGGUAACUCGAUCACCUAUCCAGGAUCAUCCUCUUCAUUGACGAAUGCAUUGGCAUCAUCGUGGAGGAGGGAUUCAGGGGAUUCAAAUGGAGAGAUAGCCAAUACUUGCUCGAUUCGCUCGGAAUCGGGAAUGGGUUACGCCAAAGAAUUUUUCGAUCGCUUGAUCAGGACGACAAAUGCUUUUGAGGUCUCUCACUUCGAUCAUGGCCUAUGAAAAUAUCGAAGUGAGAGACCUCAAAAACAUGGUAGUCCAGGAUUGCCUCGACAUCAUUGUGACGUACUAGCACUCCGCGAAGAAUCCCAUAACCUUCGAUGAUAGGACCAAAUGGGUGCCGAAAGGUUUUGCCUGUUGGUAUCAACGGUUCGUUCCCUAAGAAAUUUAAUGUAGCUUGAGGACAUAAUAUUCACACCAAGGGAAUUGUAAAGAGUUUGCACCAUGGCCUCCCUCAUGAGACCUGAGAUAGUUAAGGAUUGGAGCUAAUCUAAAUUACUUUAGAAGAAAGUUCCAGCCCCUUAACCACUCAUCACUUAUGAUGGUAGUUAAUCUUUUUGAAGAGAUUUUCCUCGAGUGGUGAAGGAGAACUAUACAAGACCGGUGGUCUCUUUUGGCAGGAAUAAUUUGAGGUGUUUCCAUAAUCUUCAAUAAUAUCACCAUCAAACUUGAACGGGAAUUCCAAAGAUUGAAUUUCUUUUACCUUCGGUUCCCGUGGUUCAGGUGAGGAUUCAACGUUCGAAUCAUGGGAUAUGGAGGUUGCAUACUCCGAUUCGGACGUUGAUUCCUCAUGUGUAUCCUCAAUUUCUAUGAUGGUUUCACAAUGAGCGAAGGAGGUGUUCUCCAAGAUGUGAUCCAAGAGUUUCCCUCCUUCAGACCUCGUUUUGUGUGCGAAUGAACCUCCGACGGAAAUAUUGAGAUACAUAGCAGACUCCUUGUCUAAACCUGAGUGGAAGUGUUGCAACAACACGUGAUCGGGUAGAGACAAGUCUUGGCCGUCUUGAGUUAACAAGGAGAAAACGAGCCCAAGCUGCACCAAUGGAUUCCUUUUGAUUCUACCGAACGUUGAGAACCUAUUUACGUAGAGAGAUUACAUGGGUUAACAGGAAGAAAACAAGGCAAAACUACAUUUUAAUUCCUCCUAUUCUCCAUGCAGUUUUCUCACGGUAUUGGUGUACCAUUGGUUCACCCCCUCUGUAAGAGAGAAGGGAAACAACUUCCACUUUAAGGUUUAUUGUGUUAUGCCCGCAAUUGUCAGGCAUGAACACAAUUGCUCAUACUCACAUAGAUGAUGGUAGGAGUUUUCUCUUUCGCGCCCCGAGAAGGGUUGUUCCCGAACUAUGGCUAUAAUGUUAGGAUGGAGUUCAUAGCCAGAUGAACGGAUAAGUUUUGUAGAAAAUGGUGCCUCACAGAACUCAGCCCUUGGAGCAUAAAGAUUUUGAAUAGAAAGGUGCUCCAUUGUUGGUAAGAAGACAAAGGAACAAGAGAAAAGAAAAGAUACGAGGACGAAUCAGGUUCGAACAUGAUACAACAUCCAUUCCUCAGCAAAGAUGCCAUAAAUAAUUGUUAGUAUUUGAUGUGGCACGUGGUAACACAUGAGGAAGGUGUGUCUUGUGGGUAAAGAUGUGCACCUUUAAUCAGAGUAUAAUCUAUUCGAAUAGCCGCGCCCUCAGUUAUGAGCAAGCCUAGCAAUGUACCAAAGUUAGUGGUUUAAUUCCUAAAACUUGCUUAACAACUAAAAUGUGGAAUGGUUGGCUUGGGUUGGCUUGGGACGAGCUGGGACCGGUUUAGGUUGCUAGUUCGGUCUAACUCGUUAUAGUCCUUGGGUUAAGGUAGGUUCAUGUGGGUUCACGGCCUUCAUUAAUAAUAUUGUGUAGUUCUAGGAUCGUGUUUACCAAAAUAACUUUGGGCAACUAAGUGUUUUAAAUAUUGUUUUCUGCAAAACAUAACCCAUAUGAUUACUCCUUUGUACUCACUUGGCAUUUAUUGUGCAUUUAUCGGUGUGACUUGUUGAGUACUGUGGUUGCACUCAAUCUUGCUCUAUUUUUCCCCAAACCAGAAAAGGAGUUCCUGGAGGAUGAAGGUUUUGGUGUCUAGCUCAUGCCUGCUGUCAAGCGCCUGUGGUAUUUGCCCUAGUCUUCCGCUUUUGUUCAUUUAUCUCUGAGUGUUGGGCCUUUGGUCGCUCUUGUAAUAUAAGUACUAUUUACACUUCCGCUUGUUAAAACUCUGAUUUGAACUUUGGUGUACCUUGCCUCCUGGGACAAGGAUUAAUACACUCACGUAUGGAAUGUCUAUUGGGUUAUUUCCGGUCGUGACAUUUGGUCUGGCUAGAUUGAAAGGAAGAAGCUCAAGAAAUUUUGGUCUAGCUAGAUUAAAUGGGAAGAAGCUCAAGAAGGAAAAAAAACAUAGUGCAUUGAAAAUGUAUUGCAAGCAACAACUGAAGCACAUUAAGUGGGACCACAUGCAGCAGGCGCUAGAGGUCUAGGACGUCCGAUUUUUAUCUGAGCAUGUGUGAGGGGACACGCAGCGUGGCAUAUGGGCGUCCAUUCAUUUGCAGCUUAAUAAAUAUUGAUGACAGUUGUGUUGGCUUCUUCUUGGCAGAUGCUUUGCUCCAAACACCAGGAAUUCAUAUGUAGUUGUCAAACGAGUUGUGCAUGCAUACCACAUAUAACCUCCCCUAGUGCUAUACUUGGCAGCAAUAAAUGUUCAAUUUGCUAGAUAUGCAUGCCAAUAUGUUGCUGGCAAAUAUUAAGUAGGUGAUAUCACUACAGCUUCUCCCUUUUGUCUCUUGUGGAUGGAAAGUAGUCAAACUGUGCGUUACACCUCGCUGGUUUUCAAAUAUAUAUACCACCUUCACAUAGCAGGGUUGAAUCACCCCCACAAAGCAAAUCAAGCUACAACAAAGAUCUUGGCAUCUCGCCCUUGGUCACUAUAGCUAGGUAGGUAGGUAGGUAGGUAGGUAGCGAGAGAUGUCCAUGGAGAACGGCGACUCCAGAUUUGUUAGGGAUUUGGUGUCGCCGAUGCCUGGACCGCCGCUACUGCCGACGCAACAAGCGCUGAGGGCACUGUCAUCUUUGCAGAUUAUCCAGGGGCUUAGAGUGGCAUCGCCAGAGCGGUUGCCACAACCAUCAAGCGGCCAGCGUCGUAUCUUGCCGAUGGCCCCACAGGCACGACGGUGGCGUGCUGAUGGCAGCACAACUAUGUCUGUGGCAUCGUUGCCGCUAAACCAGGUCCGUGCUAUUGGGUUGUUUCUCAAUACCUUCUUGGUGGCCACAAUGAGGCGCCAGGAGGGGCCCCUUUACCACAAUGCUAUUGUAAUCCCUACGAUAGCACCGGCACCGGCGCCGGCACCGCCGACCACCCAGAUGCUCGCCAUGGAGAACACUAUGCCAGCUACCGUGGAACCGGUUACCAACCACAGGAUCAUCAACCAUGAUAUCAUGCAUUUCAUGAGGGAAACUCCAGAUAUCCAGAGGCUCCACGGCGUUGUUUCACCUGUGGCGGUCCAUGGUAACGGGAAUCCCCUUUCAUGCAUCUAUUGUGGGCUGGUGUUUGCCCUCAGGUCAUCGGAAAUCCCGGGGUUCCUCCCUCCUCCUGGAUUUAGCUACCCAGAACCCAUGGGACCACCACCAUUACUGUCAUUGUUUCCACCAGCAAGAGAUGCUUCUCGGAUAGCAGCGGUGUGCUCAGACCCACAUCAUUUUGCUGUCACCAUGCAAUAUAUGCCCAAGCAGGAAAUGGCUGAUCUCAUUUGGUCAUCCGAGAUACCAAGCAUCCACAUUCCGUCAGCUGCAGGUGGCCAGCAUGUUGGAACGGUGCCGUCUCUGACCGGUAUCACUAGUGCCACCACAUCAAUGGUGAACCUCAUGCAGAUGCCGGCUAUCCACAUGGAGCAGCACAUGCUACAUCCAACCAUGUUAAACUCAUCUGCUUCUCCGGAAUGUAUCACUAGCACUGCCGUACCAUCAACGCUGAACAUGAUGCCAAUGCGGGAUAUCCUCAUAGAUCAGCUUUCACUGCCUCCUGCCAUAUCUAGCUCAUCUGCUUCUGGUGUUCUCUGUGAGUACGUGAUGCCUGAGCACGAGGACAUGGUCCGCCUCACCUUGGGUCAGUCAUCCACCAUGGACCUAGAUCUUAGCUUCUAGGCCUCUAGGAGGAGCAUCAAGUUUGAAGAUGUUGGAAGAGCAUAGAUUUUAAGAGUGUUGUUUCUGUUCUUUGGAGGUACUGAAAGGUACAAGAUUAGCUUUGUACCUCUCUGUACCUUUCCAAAGUCUCUAGAUAAACUUAGCAUUGGGUGGAACAUUUAGUGUGGUGUCCAAUAAUGGUCAAAUCAUUAUGAGUUAAAUUUCCUUUUUAUUUGUUGCUUGCUUGUAUCUAGCUUAAAAAUUGGCUUGUGUGCAUCCAUGAUGCAGAUGCCAUUGCAGUUGUAAUGUUACCUUUUCUUCAUCAAAAUUACUGAGUUAAGAUUGGCUAGUACACCCACGCGUUAGCUGGAGCUCAGUUACCUUUUUUACCAGUAGGGCCUUAACGUUCUUCUGUAUUGAGAUACCCAUAAUCUACCUUAUAAUUCACCAACUGUGUCUUACAUCCUCAUUCCUCAUGGAUCGGUCAAGAUCGCCCCAAUCAAAUCCAACGCCCACGUUAUUCCCACCUCCCCCAUACUCUCUCUCCCACAAACCCCACCACUGUACGGAUCUCCCCUCUAUCUGCUUCCCAUCAGUUUCCUCACACGCAAUCUCAGCUCCCUCUCUCCCAAGCUCAACCGCCGCAGCCUCACCACCGCCGCCGCAUCAACUCGCUGCCAGUGACCAACGUUACACCAGGGUCAUCGCCCUUGCCUCGCCUGCUCCGAUCUCCUCCGCGUCGCGAUAACUCCGUCGCCUCUCUCACCGGUCUGCUCCGCCCACGCCUAUCUCUCUCGUCGGCGUCAACAACGUCGUCGAUCUCCUCCGCGCACAAACAAGUUUAGUGUUGGGAUAAUUUUUCUUUUUGCAACGUUUACUAACAUGAUGGUUACUGCGAUUCAGUUAAUUAAUCACUUGUGAUGUAUCAGUUUCUUAAUUAUUUAUUCACCUUUUGAAUUAUGGAGUAUAAUGAUUUCGCAGGCAUUACCAUGUAUUCUGCAGAAGACAGAAGCUUUAGUGACAACAUGAAUCCUACUGUAGGAUUCAAUAUUAGAAAGGUGGCCAAAGGUAAUGUCACAAUAAAAUUGUGGGAACUUGGAGGCCAGCCGGUAUUCCCAAGCAUGUGGGAGAGAGAUUGCUGUACUGUUUCGGCAAUUGAGUAAUUUAUUUUCCUGUCUAAUUACUAAUUUGAUGCAUGUGCAACAUGGCACUAUACUCAGUAGUAGUUGUCAUGCACUCAUGCUUAAUUGGCUGUUGGUUACAUACGCUAACCAAUUGUUUCGAAGACAUUUUGAUUAAUUUGACCUCUGCUGAAAUUAGGCAAAUUUCCAAAAGCACAUUUCAGUAGGCGAGACCAUAUCUGCCCUCCUAAUUUUGGCUGUAGAUUCAAACAGAAUGCUAAGUGGUCCUUUAUCUGCAACUUGAAUAAUUAUAUUAUCUUUUUAAUUAAUUUAAAAUCAUCCAGGAUUAUUGGGACAGGAACAUUCUGAUGUGGAACCAUUUUUCUAGAGGAGAAAGACUACACUGCAGAGGAUGUCAAAUUUAAGAACUCAACUGUUGGAAUUAAUGGAUGGGCCUUAGCCCACACGAAGAUUAAUUCUUUAGAAAAUCACAAAAGCCUACCUCCUGGGAUGGCAUGCAUGUGGAGUUUAGUACCACCUUGUUUAUUCUAGGAGAGAGGGACCUCCUUAAAAAGGAGGAUGCCCUCCUAGCCACUUGAAGCAUGUGUGGUGGAGAGAAGAGGGGGAACACACGGGCGCGCUCGCUCGCCUCGCCUGGCAGGGCAGGCGGCGCGCGCACGACGUACGCGUCGAAUGGUCCGCAAAAUUGGCUCCUCAUCCUUGCACAGAUGCAGCCUCCUUUUGUAGUUUUGUUUUGCUGCGGGAAAUUCAGAUUUGUUUUCUUUUGGAAACAUUCCGAAAAAUCCGAUGCGUGAAAAUGGUGUGGAGUCCGGAUAAGUUACACGCGACUUAUCCGGUUCGGUUAUGCGGAGUGGAGAUCGUGCGGCGCCCUGAUCAAGCGACCUAUCUCUAUAUAAACCGAGCCGCCGCUUACAUACAACACACGCGAAAUCAAUCUAAGGCGGCAAUAAGGUUUUUGGGAAGCGCUUCGCGCGACUGCUCCCUGUUCGUCCGCGACGGCUCGCCUUCCUCUUAGCUCGCAUGCUGCACGCCUUCGUCGAUGCCCGCAACCGCGAGUAGUUCCUGCCGAGCAACCGGUCUUUCCGCCACCUUGGUUCGUGUUCGACAUGUUGCGCAUAUUUGAUCUGUUCAUGUUUUACUGCUUAGUUUACAUGUGUGUAUCUAAUGAUGCGUUCAUGCUAGUUUACAUCUGCAAUGUUAUGAUUUAUUUAUGGAAUAAAUUAAAUCAUUAUGUGCUUAUAAUUUCAACAAUCCAAAAACCUUAUUAUAGGCACUGUGGUUUUACUAUGGUUGGUUUUGCCGAUGCACUGAGGCCGGAAAAAUUCACCGGUGUGCAAUUUAAGAGAUGGCAGAUCAGGGUCAUUCUGUGGCUGACAGCUUUGAAAUGCUUCUGGGUGAGUACUGGCAAGCCUAUGGGAGUUCUUAAUGCUGACCAGUAGAAAGAAUUCGAUGAGGCCACUACUCUCUUUGUGGGAUGCAUUCUUAGCGUGCUUGGCGAUCGUCUGGUCAAGGUGUAUAUGCAUAUGACCGACACUAAGGAGUUGUGGGAUGCACUGAAUACUAAAUUCGGUGCUACUGAUGCUAGCAAUGAUCUGUAUAUCAUGGAGCAGUUUCAUGACUACAAGAUGGUUGACAACCGUUCUAUAGUCGAACAGGCUCAUGAGAUACAUACCAUGGCUAAGGAACUCGAACUCCUUAAGUGUGUCUUACCCGAUAAAUUUGUGGCCGGGUGCAUUAUUGCGAAACUACCUCCAUCUUGGAGAGGUUUCGGUACUGCACUCAAACACAAGAGACAGGAAUACUCCGUUGAGGGGUUGAUAGCGUCUCUUGAUGUUAAGGAGAAAGCUCGGGAAAAAGAUGCCGCGUCUAAGGGCGAUGGUGGGCAGUCCACUGCCAAUGUUGUGCACAAGGCCCAGAACAAGAGCAAGGGGAAACACAAAGCUCAACAGACCACCAACUUCAAGAAGCAGAAGAAGAACAACAACAAUCCUAAUCUGGAUGAGAGGACUUGCUUUGUGUGUGGCCAACCUGGUCAUCUAGCCAGGAAGUGUCUACAACGCAAGGGGAUGAAGGCACCUGCAGGGCAGACUUCUAAGUCUGCUAAUGUGAGCAUUGGCAACACUGGAGAUGGAAGCGGGUAUGGUAAUUUACCUACUGUUUUUUCAGUUAAUCAGUCUACUAAUUGGUGGGUUGAUACUAGGGCCAAUGUACAUAUUUGUGCUGACAUCUCAUUGUUUUCUUCUUAUCAAGUCGCACGGGGUUCCACCGUCCUAAUGGGGAACGGGUCACAUGCUUCUGUUCAUGGUGUUAGCAUGGUAGAUCUGAAGUUUACUUCGGGAAAGAUCGUGCAGCUGAAGAACGUGUAGCAUGUCCCUUCUAUCGACAGGAAUCUUGUUAAUGGCUCCCGUCUGACUAGAGACGGAUUUAAGUUGGUUUUUGAGUCUAAUAAAGUAGUCGUGUCUAAACAUAGAUAUUUUAUUGGUAAAGGUUAUGAGUGCGGAGGCCUGUUCCGCUUUUCCCUUUCUGAUUUCUGCAAUAAGUCUGUAAACCAUAUUUGUGGCAGUGUGGAUGAUGAGGCUAAUGUUUGGCACUCACGUUUAUGUCAUAUUAAUUUUGGCUUGAUGUCUCGGCUUUCCAGCAUGUGUUUAAUUCCUAAGUUUUCCAUUGUCAAAGGUUCUAAGUGCCAUAGUUGUGUGCAAUCGAAGCAACCUCGCAAGCCUCACAAGGCUGCCGAGGAGAGAAACUUGGCACCAGUAGAACUCCUACAUUCAGAUCUUUGUGAAAUAAAUGGGGUUUUGACGAAGGGUGGAAAACGAUAUUUCAUGACGUUGAUUGAUGAUGCUACUAGAUUUUGCUAUGUGUACUUGUUGAAAACGAAAGACGAGGCUCUAGAAUAUUUUAAAAUUUAUAAGGCAGAAGUUGAAAAUCAACUCUAGACUAUUUUAAAAUUUAUAAGGCAGAAGUUGAAAAUCAACUUAACAGAAAGAUAAAAAGGCUUAGGACUGAUCGUGGUAGAGAGUUUUUCUCAAAUGAGUUUGACUUAUUCCGUGAGGAACAUGGCAUCAUACAUAAGAGGACACCUCCCUAUUCUCACGAGUCUAAUGGGAUUGCCGAAAGGAAGAACCGCACACUGACUGACUUGGUGAGUGGGACUGUAACACCCUGCCUCCAAAAUCCGCAUUAGUCCGCUCUACACGUUGAGCAGACCCACGUUCGCAUGGUAUCCCGAUUACGCUUUCGUCCUCGCUUCAUGUAAAAGGGUUAACCCGGGGAUACCAUGGUUGGAGCACCAAGGCUUAUAAGCAGGCCCUCACCCACCUAAACUUCCAAGGUGGUACUAAACCACCACUACACAUCCACUUCUGGGCCACAUGGGCCAAACUCACACUACUGACAGGCUUCAAACAGGCUGGGGUGUUACAGGGACUACCUAAGGCAUGGUGGGGGGAGGCAUUGUUGACCUCGAAUCAUGUGCUAAACAGAGUUCCUAACAGAAAUAAGGACAAAACACCAUAUGAGAUAUCUAUUGGGAGAAAACCAUCACUUUCUUAUUUGCGCACAUGGGGGUGCUUGGCGAAAGUCAAUGUACCAAUAACGAAGAAGCGCAAACUUGGACCUAAGACUGUAGACCGUGUCUUUCUGGGAUAUGCUCAUCACAACAUUGCCUAUAGAUUUUUAAUAGUUAAAUCUGAGGUACCUGACAUGCAUGUUGGUACAAUUAUGGAGUCUCGUGAUGCUACCUUUUUUGAGAGCUUCUUCCCAAUGAAGGAUACACAUAGUAGUUCUAGCCGACCUUCUAAAAUAAUUUAUAGUUCAAUCUCACCACCAGAACAAACUGAACAUACACAUGAACAUGUCACUGAGGAGGAUGACAGUGAAGCUCCUCGAAGGAGUAAGAGACAAAGGACGGCUAAGUCUUUUGGUGAUGAUUUCACUGUGUACCUCGUGGAUGACACUCCUAUGUCAAUUUUAGAAGCAUAUGCAUCUCCUGAUGCAGACUACUGGAAGGAGGCUGUCCGUAGUGAAAUGGAUUUCAUUAUCGCUAACGGGACCUGGGAGGUGACAGAGCGACUCUAUGGGUGUAAACUUGUGGGGUGCAAGUGGGUGUUCAAGAAGAAGCUCAGGCCUGACGGUACUAUUGAAAAGUACAAGGCUCGGCUUGUUGUAAGGGCUACACUCAGAAAGAAGGCGAAGAUUUCUUUGACAUUUACUCACCUGUUGCUAGAUUGACCACAAUUCGUGUGCUACUUUCCCUAGCAGCCCCACAUGGUCUUCUCGUUCAUCAAAUGGACGUUAAGACAACUUUUCUUAUUGGAGAGCCGGAUGAGGAGAUCUAUAUGGAUCAACCUAAUGGGUUUGUAGUUGAAGGUCAAGAAGGUAAGGUGUGCAAAUUGUUGAAGUCUUUGUUUGGUCUGAAACAAGCUCCUAAGCAAUGGCAUAAGAAAUUUGACAAAACAUUGACAUCUGCAAGCUUCGCAGUCAAUGAGGCAGAUAAAUGUGUGUACUAUCGCCAUGGUGGGGGUGAGGGAGUUAUUCUGUGAUGUAUGUUGAUAACAUACUGAUAUUUGGGACAAACCUUGAGGUGAUAAAUGAGGUUAAAUCAUUCUUGUCUCAAAAUUUUGAUAUGAAGGAUUUGGGAGUAGCUGAUGUUAUCUUAAACAUUAAGCUAAUUAGAGGUGAGAAUGGGAUUACACUCUUGCAGUCCCAUUAUGUGGAGAAGAUCUUGAAUCGCUUUGGCUACAUUGAUAGUAAGCCUUCUCCAACACCUUAUGAUCCUAGCUUGUUGCUUCGCAAGAACAAGAGAAUUGCUAGGAAUCAACUGGAAUACUCCCAAAUCAUUGGCUCGCUGAUGUACCUGGCUAGUGCAACUAGGCUUGAUAUCUCCUUUGCUAUGAGCAAGUUGAGCCGUUUUGCCUCUAAUCCGGGAGAUGAUCACUGGCGUGCGCUUGAGCGAGUAAUGCACUAUCUGAAAGGUACUAUGGAAUUGGGGCUUCACUAUACUGGGUAUCCUGCGGUACUGGAGGGUUAUAGUGAUUCUAACUGGAUCUCUGAUGUGGAUGAGAUCAAAGCCACUAGUGGAUAUGUCUUCACACUGGGUGGUGGUCCUGUUUCGUGGAGGUCUUGCAAACAGACCAUUUUGACGAGGUCAACUAUGGAAUCAGAGCUGACGGCACCGGAUACUACUACUGUUGAGGCAGAAUGGCUGCGUGAUCUAUUAAUGAAUCUGCCUAUUGUUGAAAAACCAGUGCCGACUAUCCUUAUGAAAUGUGACAAUCAAACGGUAAUUGUCAAAGUGAAUAGUUCUAAGGAUAAUAUGAAAUCGUCUAGACAUGUGAAAAGACGAUUGAAGUCUGUCAGGAAAUUGAGAAACUCCAGAGUUAUAACGUUGGAUUACAUCCAAACAGCUAGAAACCUGGCAGAUCCCUUCACGAAGGGACUAUCACGAAAUGUGAUAGACAAUGCAUCGAAGGAGAUGGGUUUGAGACCCAUGUGAGUUAUACUAUGGUGGUAACCCAGUCUAUGUGAUCCGAGAUCCCGUGAAUUAGAACCUAGGAAGAACAAACCAUUAGUAAACUAGAGGAGAGUACCAAUCUAUACCCUCUCUAAGUGAAGAUGCAUGUACUCUCGUGAGCAGCAAGGCAGGUUGGCUAUGCCUUAAUGAGUUCUGUUGGCUUUAAUUAGCAAAGAUGCUGUCUUGCAGAGCAUUCUUGAAAGACAUCACCUUUGUGAGCUUAACUGUUAGUCACAGUCCGUGGAGAUUUUGGGUGAAUAUUCUAGGAAGCUUAGUAAAGACCUAGGAGUAUGACUUAUACGCUCCACCCAAGGGGUAGUCUAUAGACGGUCUAGUACCAGAUAAGACUCUUAGUAAAACUUGCAUGCACAAGACUUGCAAUUCAAGGCGUAGUCCAUUGUUCAAGUUGUGAGUAAGUGUAGCUUGGAGUUCUAGAUGGAUGUUCAACCUUAAUCGGUCUCCAUUGAACUGCUGGUAUAUAAACAGUACAUUGGAAACAGCAAAUCUCAGUGGGAUUUUGAAAUUUGGUGGGGGAUAGUUGGAAUUAAUGGAUGGGCCUUAGCCCACACGAAGAUUAAUUCUUUGUAAAAUCACAAAAGCCCACCUCAUGAGAUGGUAUGCAUGUGGAGUUUUGUACCACCUUGCUUAUUCUAGGAGAGGGGGACCUCCUUAAAAGGGAGGAUGCCCUUCUAGCCACUUGAAGCAUGUGUGGUGGAGAGAAGAGGGGGAACACACGCGCGCGCUUGCUGGCCUGGCCUGGCACGGCAGGCGGCGUGCGUGCACGUCGAAUGAUCAGCAAAAUUGGCUCCUUAUGCUUACGCAGAUGCAGCCUCCUUUUGCAGUUUUGUUUUGUUGCGGAAAAUUCGGAUUUGUUUUCUUUUGGAAACAUUCCGAAAAAUCCGGUGCGUGAAAACGGCGUGGAGUCCGGAUAAGUUUCGCACGACUUAUCCGGUUCGGUUACACGGAGUGGAGAUCGUGCGGGCGCCUUGAUCAAGCAACCUAUCUCUAUAUAAACCGAGCCGCCGCCUACACGCAACACAUACGAAAUCAAUUUAUGGUUUGCCUCCUACUCUGUGCUGCACCGUCGCUCGUAGACUACUCCAUCCCGCUCGCCGGCGUGCACUGGCGAUCAGGAGAGCAGGUCUCCGGAACCUCUGCCUUCGACGUCCUGCAUCGGGAGAAGGCGGCAAUAAGGUUUUUGGAAAGCGCUUCGCGGGACUGACGACUCGCCUUCCUCUUCGCUCGCGUGCUGCGCGCCUUCGUCGACGCCCGCAACCGUGAGUAGUUCCUACCGAGCAACCGGUCUUUCCGCCACCUUGGUACGUGUUCGACAUGUUGCGCAUAUUUGAUAUGUUCAUGUUUUACUGCUUAGUUUACAUGUGUAGAUCUAAUGAUGCGUUCAUGCUAGUUUACAUCUGCAAUGUCAUAAUUUAUUUAUGAAAUAAAUUAAAUCAUUAUGUGCUUAUAAUUUCAAUAACUCCCCAGGUGCUUAAAUUUUGCUUGUUCCUUUUUUUUUUUUUUUUUUAUGAAACUUGUUCGUGUUCCAUGGAGGGAUGCCUAUGCGAUGAGUGCAGGAAGCUGAUAUACCAGUGUGGUGCAUGGGUAAGUGCAGACAAAUGCAGCCUUAGUAACAACAGAUAUAUGUGUGCCUCAUACAAUUCCAGGUUCCUUGAUGGCAGGUUAAAUCACUUCAUCAUUUAAGAGUUUUAGCAGCAGUUGAUAUCGUCGUCGAUACGAGGUGCUUUGAAGCGGAUAAAUUUUUUUAUGUGACCAUGACAGGGAAGAAGCAGAGUGAUGUGGAGCUCAAUGAUUUUCAGAAGUAUGCCUGUCCAUUUUUGCAUGGUGCGUGAAUUCUGAUUUUUAUUAGCCUUCAGAAUUUUUUUACUCGGAUUGUUGGAAAUGUUAAAAAUCUAAGACUGGGAUUGGUUUGAGAUGCUUGUGCACGAUAGGGUGAUUGAUCUUGUCAGCUUUGUAGAUGUUGUACAUUUCUUUCCAGAAUAUGAUGAAACCUAACCAUUGUUGAGUGUUUGUCACAGACUUUAGUCUAUUUCUGUCUCUUAAAUAAGCAUGUUAAGUAUACACCUGGGUCCUGAAAACCUAUUUCUUGCCAUUUAUUUUCAGGGAAGUUAACUGUUGGAAAUGAUCACUGUUCCUUCAUAGGCGUCAUUGUCAACAUAAAACUGCCAGUGGUUUAUGCAUAGAUAAUGGUAAUUAAGGCUGGCCGUUUUCAAUAGACUGAUGUAAGUGUAUCCGUUCUUGCACCCAAUACAGAAACCUGGAACUGGAGUAUUAUAACGACGGAAAAUUUUGGUCUGUGACAUUCACAUUCCUUUGUAGCAGUUUGUGUCUUCCUGCGAAUUCUUGAGGUGUCUGUCAUACACAAAAGUGUCUAAUACUCAGAAAUUGAUGUUUUGGAUCUGUCCAAACAUGUAUUGCCUUAACAAUUUUUUGGAGAGUUCAGGCCAUGACAGGUUAUGUGUAUUGCUUGUGGUCUUCUGUUCGAUGAACAAACUAAUCUCUAUAAUUUGUACUGAUUGUGAUCGCAGUUGUGCACUUUUGUUGUGAUCAUGGAUGUUUUCAUGCAUAGAGAGAAGGAAAUAUUUAUUUAUAUACCUACUUAAAAAAUAGCUAGGGAGUGUUUCUGUCUUGAUCUCGUUUCAUCUGUUGUCUGUCUCGGCAGCGCCUGUUUAGUCCGGUUGGCGAGUCGUGAGCGAUUGGAGAGCAACAAACGAGAGCUGAGUCUUGACAGUCUAACAAAAAUGAGUCCAUGUCUGCUUUUUCUUGGUAACACAGGGACAUUAUUGCUAUAUAGAAAUAAAAUUUUUGGAGGCAAGUUUAGGAAAUCAAGGUCCCACAUCUCGUUCGCAUGCAAUUUUCCUGUCAUCUCUCUGGUUACUGCACGGACACAGCCCAGCUCUUUUUUUUUUCAGAAGAAGAACCAACCACUAUAAUAUAUCCUGUAGUUCUCUUUUAUGGUGAAUCUUAAAAUCUUUGUUCUAUACUUCGUUACCAAAACUUAUAUUGUAUUAACAUAAAUUGUAUUAACUUAUAUUGUAUUUUUUAUUAAAUAUUACCGUAUCGUUAGCACGGGCAAAUUACUAGUUAUGUUUCGUUUGCUAAAUCAAACAAAGACACUACACUAUUAAGCACAAGGUCAUCAAAGGGCUCUACGAAUAGGCUUGUGAUGAUAAGAGUCAAAGGCAGUCAACAUAUAACCAUCUCGAAUAUUGGAAAUAUCCGAGGUGAUUGCGAAUCAAACCGCCUCCCAUAAUACCCAUUAAAAAUUUAUAGCGUAAGUUGGCUAGUGGAGUUUUGUAAGAUUUUUUUUUACAUGAAUUACUACUCUUUAGUUUGAUAUGUCAUUAUAUGUUUUUAGGAUCUGUAACUUUUAGUUCAUGUACUUGUGAAUUAUUAAUAUACUACAGUUCUGCAAACUAUAUUUUCUCUAAAAACUUCCUAUAUAUUUGUUAGAUAACUUCUUCUAAGCUAUUUUUAGAUAUAUAAUAUAUAUUAUUUAGUUCAUAUUUAAAAACUCCCUAGUCUAGCUCUCGAAUCGUCCAUAAAGAAUAUAUAUAUCCUUAGUUUGGUAUAAGUUUCACAUUUCAAUAUUCAUGGUUUUCACAAAAAUUUUCUAUGUUUUCCACAAAAUGGAAUACCAAUAUCAGCAUGAUCGAAAAAACAAAUAAACAAUCCAAAAAUUUUGCAUGUUUCCGAUAGCAUAAACUUCAGCGUGGUACAUGCACUAUGCUUGUGGGUGUUCACAGUCACAGAUCUUAAGGAUCUGAAGCAACUAUGAGAAAGCAAAAUGUGUUUUUCUUUUGCCCUUUUCACCUUAGUUUCCCCCAUUAUUUGUCUAAUCGAGAGAGCACAGGAAGAAAGCGAGUACGCGGCAUACUUGCUACAGCUGAUAUCAGUGCUACACUUGCCAAAAAGGUUGAGACCGGCGCCUACAGUCUGCGAAAACCUAUUUUUGAAAUGGAUACUGCGAAAAUAUAUCUAUUUUUUUGGACGGCUUCAUACGACAUCAACUUAUAAAAAUUGAUUUGCAUGGACAGUAUCUACGUGAGAAACCUGCCCUUAAAAAUGGAAGCACCAUUAAAAUACGAAAAAAAUCAUAACUUCUUUAUAUGAAGCCGUAUGAAGACAAACUUUGUAUAAAAAUUUUUAUCAUGAGAAAAUAGGAAUUUGGGUCAUUGAGAGAAUAUGUUGCUCCUAUCAAGUGGAUAAAGGUGCAUUUUCGCAUUUGUUUCUUUGACGCGCACAAAGAUACAAUGUUUCCCAUUUGUUUACGAUAUUACCACAUCCAAAAUCAAGAAGAUUACUUUUCAUGUGAAGCUUCGAAGAUUGGAAUGCUUUUUUUUCCAAAUCAAAUAAGUUUAUACAGUCCAAUGGGUAAUUACAUAUGUCUCACAAGUAUAAUAUAUGAUCAGUCAAACCAUUAGCAACUUAUUUUAUUUUUACAUGGAAACAGUAUCUGGCUAUGCUAGCAAUAUAGGAUGAAUAAAAUUAAAAUAACUUAAAAUAUAACGACAAACUGCUUUCUUGAAAUUUUUGUUCUUCUCACAAAGUGAUCAGUCAAUAUUAUUACUGAUAAAAAAUUUGCUCCAAAUUGAAAAUUCUACAUCAAGAAUUAAUUUGUUGUUCCUUAAAAUCUAAAUGCCCCUUGAUGAGAACAAAUCUAUCAAGAUGCAACACGUACGUCUCCAGAAAAGAGAAAGUAUCAAGUAAAAAGACAGAGAGAAAUAGAGUAAAACACGGCCGGGGUUGGCUAAUGGAGCUUGUUCCCUAACUUGGAAAAUCAGCCAUCACUAGAAAAUUAGCCUUCUCUAUAAACCAAAUUUGUUUUUUGUUUUGAGCAUCUCCGAGCUUCUAUUUCAUCCUCUCUAUAGCUAAUUUAGCAAUUCUUUCAGAAAGCGCCACCCAUUGUUUUACUUGCUGGCUUAUCAGGCGCAAGUAAAAUUAAAGAGUAAAAUACACUCACGUUCACGAUACACAAACUUAAGUGGUAGGUGUAAAUAGGUAGAACAGACGUUCUGAUGCAACAACUUACAUAUUUCAGACGAAGCAAGGCCAAAAUACUCUAAACAAUUAAAAUAAACAUGGCUUCAGAAUGAAUGUCAUGUUAGCUCCAAAAUUUUGAUAAAUUGACCUUUUUUGAAAACUUAUUUUAAGAUUGGAUCAUGCUGAAAACUAAUUGAAAAAUAAAUCGUUAGCUCAGCACCAUCAGGGUUAGCACUGUGGUAUAACAUAUUGCGCCAACAACAUUGACACUAAGAUCCUAGCUGAGGUAGUGAGAAAUUCCACGGUAGAAGGGAUCAGCGCCAAUGUCGUUGUACAGGUUAAGUAAAACAACAGCAAUUAUUAGUGAGAUAUGCAGGUAUAGUCUAGUGGUGGGAGGUGAGUUUUUUCAAUCAAGACAUCCAUGUUCGGUCCCUUAGAGGCGAAUUGAUGUCGUAUUUAUUUUUCUGAAAAAGCUCCCAACUCAUCCAAUCAUGUAUCAAAAACGAUUUUUACCGAAGUUGGCAUUUUAUUUUUCCAGGCGUACAAAAAAUAUCCUCUUAUAGCCAUUUGAGAUAAUAGCUAAAGAGCCUCUAGAUUUAACCCCGCCUGCGAAAAUCAAUUUUUCUAGGCGGAACCCCUUUAUUUUAACAAGCAGACCUCUUAAGGGAUCCGCCUAGAAAAAUAUGAUGUUCGCAAACCGAACUUUACGUGGUUUGCCUGCAAAAAUUCCUCCACCAUCGCCACCACUCAUUUCCCUCCCUCUCCUCUCUCUCUCUCAUCUAGCCGAUGCCGACGACGACAACGACUGCCGCGAUGACAACGGCGCCGACACCUGGGUCCCGCCGCCUGCUGCAACGACGACGCCGCCUAGAUCCACCGCCGGCUAGGCCCAGGUGCGCAGAUCCACCGCCAGCCGGUCUCGGGGAGGGGAGGGGAGACAGCGGCUCGGCUCCUCCCUCUCCCGGCAACGGCGGCGGCUCAGCGACGAGGAGGUGAGGCGGUGGCUCGGCUCCUCCCUCUCCCGUCCCGGCUGUUGGUAUUUCUUAACGAUAUUACUAGAAAUGUAAUUCCCAGCAAUGGCACAGAAACACUCGUGGUAUAUUAUGGCUACAGAUUUCAUCCGCAAGCGCACAGAUAUACCAUUGUAGCAUUUCACCUGGGAGUAUUCCAACAAUAUUGUAUUUUUUUAAUCCCGUGGGAAGAUUAUAAUAGAGAGAACCAAGCUAAUAUUUGUAUCUUACUUGUAAUAAUCAAAGUCUAAGCAGGGGUUAGUUCAAUUCAAAUGACACAAAGCUGAAGCAUUCACUAUUCUCGUACAUACUAAUUCUAGGUUAAGUGGAAAGAAUUAAAAAAGAAUCAUUUCCUAUACUUCUAAUAUACAUACAUACACUUUAGUCAAUAUUAUCUACUAUAUAAUUAUAUAGCCAAGACCCCUCUUACAAUGCCCUCUUGGUGUUUCGAGAGACCGCCCCUAGUUGUCGAGUUCCUUACGACAACCCGUCAUGGCCAUCCAAUCGGGGCUAAAUACGGAGGAGUACCCUGCCCAGGAAAGUAACUUAGGAUUAUAUACACGCGCGAAGGAAUACCCGUACUGAGCUGUCACCAUAAGCGGCCCACCUCGACAUAUCCACACCAUAUAACCCCAAAUAAUGAUAUUCAGUAGCCUAAGCACCUCUCUUAUGCUACCAAAUACUACUCUACAAUCACCGUCGUGACUUAGAGUAAUCAUAUAAAUGAACAUUAUACCCACACCAAUGCAUCUCCUGAGUAAGCUAGCUAAACAAUUAUAUCUCGAAUAAUAUAUCAGAAAGUCGGUACUGAAAUAAUCAAAGUGAAGUAAAGUACUGUAAAUAUGUUGAGAAGAAUAUUCUAUAAAUAGUACAAGUCUUACAAAAGAAGGAAAAUCUACUAGAGCCAUACCCGAACUCUUCCGAAGACUCCGAGGACUGAAGAUUCUAUUCUAUUUCUAUUCUAUUUCUAUUCCACUGAAGCUUCUUGCUUGAGGCGUAUCUUGAAAUGGAGAGAGCGAGGGCCUUUUAUAGCUUAAGUAUGACGGUUGGAAAGGUCGGUAAUACCCUCCAACCAUCAUAGGGAGUCUAUCUGAGCCAUCUAGCCAAAACCUGGGUCAAACUGCGCCACGGUUGGUUCGGCCGAACCCAGGGUUCAGCCGAACCCUAGGCUGGCUCAACCGGCCCACAAUUUGGUCGGCAGCCUCCUCUUCUGUUGCUCACUUCAGACUUUUAAAUUUUGGCCCAGUUGGUCAUGUCAUUUCUGAGUUUUUGGCCCAUCUAUCCAUAAGUGGCUUGGCGACGAGGUUGGGAAGCGGCGGCGGCGCUCCAAUCCUCCCUCCCUCCCAGAUUUGUCCAUCGGCUGAGGAGGAAGCGGUGGCGGAGGAGGAGCCAACGGAGCCGGCACCGCAGGCAGCGUCGACCCCUCCCUUCCUAGAUCUCCCAGUUCCGGUACCACCACAGCGAGACGCUGCGCAGUUCAAUCUGUGAGGCCGGGCGAGUGUGGCUCGACCCGGGUCUCAUCGAGAUGUCGCGCGCUACCGCGCUAGGUGAUGCACCACGCCGAGGAGGAGGAGCUGCCCAAGUACGAGCCCGACGCGCUGCAGGUGGAAGCGGCGGCGCAGGCGAAGAUGAUGGGGCCGUUGGUGGUAACGGGGUUCCUCGUUGCCUACGUGCCCACCGGUGGGAUCAGGAUACACAUGAUGAGGUCGUUGCUCUACUCAAGGCGCAUCGUGCUGCCCGGUAAGCCAGAUAAGGGCGGCGGACGGAGGAGAGACGUCAGUCGGAGGGGGAGGCCGCCAGCGGCGGCGACAGGAGCGGUGGUGGCAGCGUAUUUUUUUCUUUGUUCGCUGAAAAUAUUGAUAGAGAUGUCGCAUGCGAAAAUCAUCUAUUUUCACAGGCCUUUGCGUAUACGCGGUCCUUUCCCCGCCUGAAAAAACUAUUUUUGGCUACCUGAGAAAAUGAUUUUUCUAGCAGUGUAUAUAUGUGUAGCAUUGAGAUUUAAAGAGAGAAAAAAUGAAAAUGACUUACCUGGCGGCCAAAGGGAUUUGAACCUACUCCAUCCGUCUCAUAAAAAACAAACCGAUUACAGUAUGUGACACAUCAUAAUACUAUAAAUCUGGACAGGGGCAAGCACAUGAUGUAACACACCAUAGUAACAGUCAUGUUACUAGGAUGUGUCACAUCUCAUACUAGAUUUAUUUUUUAUGGGGCAGAGAAAGUAUAGUACAACAUUACAUAAACCAAGUAAGCUACCAAACCAUUGCACCACUAGCUCACUUCCGGCUAGAAACAAGGCACCACCUUAAUUAUCACUAUGGAACUCCCCACCCUCAACUAGGAUCUUAAUGCCAAAGCCGUUGGAGCUGAGAUGUGAUACCCCAACGCCAAUCUUGAUGGCGCUGAGCCGACGGUUCAUUUAUAGAAUAUAAGUUUUAGCACAGUCUAAUCUUAAAAUAAGUUUUGUACAAAGGUCAAUUUGUCAAAAAAUUUUAUAUUAGUUCCACGCUAGUACGUCUCUUUAUUUCAUUUUUGGAAACACCGUUCAUUAUUAACCUAAGUAGGAAGAAAACCCGUGCAGAUACGUGGGCAUCUUAUUUAUUAUUUAGAAAAAGAAUACUAAAAUAAGUCUUAUAUCAUCGUAUUCACUGCAAGUGACCGUAUAUUGUCUAUAAAAAAAGAAAUAUCUAUGUCGGGAAAUAAACCAUAUACUUUAAUAUACUAAAUGGGAACAAUGUCCCCCAUAUUAAAAAAAAAUCACUUUGUACCAUUUAUAUGUAAAUUCGCAUAUCAUCACCACUACUCAUUAUCAUUGUUUUAAAAGCUCCCUAUUUAAUAGAUGAAAUUAUAUCUGUACCACAAAAAUAAGCUCAAUACAUCAUUAAUACACUAAAAAAUUUAUCCCACUACUUACCUAAGUGAUCAUGUCUACUUAUUUCCAACACUAUAUAUAAAUAUUUUAAAUAUACUGAUUCUGCCCAUUGAUAGGACAAUACCGUUAAAAUUAAACACGAAUACCUAUCUAAUGGAUGAAACUGAGUAGCCGACCAUAGCUACCAAGACUUUCUUCUCAGUAACCUUUAAACAAGGUGGCCACAUAGACAUGGUCAUGCCCCUAAAGAUCCGUGCAGAUCACAAUUUUAAUUUCUUGUUUACUAUUAUGUAUGGUCUUACCAUACUUAGAGCAGUGUAGCAAGCUCUGUUAUAUAUACUUGCAUCCUCCAGGGAAGGACAGAGAAAAUGAAGGUGAUGAAAAAUAGUUUUUUUUGUCAAUUUAUCGUAUAGAGUAGACAUCAUUUGGAGUUAAUCAAUAGUACUCAAAUUCUCAUUGUAUUGAUAUGGCAUUCUCUUUUGAAAUUGAAAAUGAGCUAGGUCGAUUAUUCGACACUACCUAAAGAAACUAUAGCGAAACAAAUGUACCAUACCACCCUGGAAAUCUUCAUAGCACCAUAUCAUUGUUUAAAUUUUGACAAAAACUUUGUUUAACGCCUCGUUUGUUUUCAAUAUCAACUUAUUUGCAGUAACUAAUUCGUUGAAAUGCACUUACAAUAACAUUAGUGGGGUGUAUAACAUAUAUCCAUCAAUUAUACCCGAUAUAUAUAUAUGUGUAUAUAUGUAUAUAUGUAUAUGUAUAUAUGUAUAUGUAUAUGUAUAUAUAUACAUAUAUGUACAUGUAUCUCUACAUAUAUACAUAUGUAUAUAUGUAUAUGUAUAUAUACAUAUGUAUAUAUACAUAUAUAUAUACAUAUACAUAUAUAUACAUAUACAUAUAUACAUAUACAUAUAUAUACAUAUACAUAUAUACAUAUACAUAUAUAUACAUAUAUAUAUAUAUAUAUAUAUAUAUAUAUGGAAACUCAGAUGUGAACCGAAGUUCAUAUGCACCAUAAAUCUCAGCUGCUCGUUGGUUCCAAGAUGCGUGCCAAGUGCAUAUGCUUAUAGCACGAUUGAGUAGUACUAGUUUUGUUGAUUGCUGUAGCAGCCUGUAGUCUAGUAUGGCUGACGGGACGCGUGGGCUCCUUUUGACGCUUCAAUUUCUGCCGUAUUAAUUAACACUCUUUAGAAGUUGGCUGUGACUUGUCAUGUCACAUGGACACAACUUUUUUUUUAUGGACAGACCGUGCCCGGGAGUUUUGCCUCUUCAUGCAUGAGUGACUUCAUUGUUUUACUUAUAUCAGUUUCUUUAUGUUUCGUAGCUUAUUAACAAUAACUAAAAAAAUAAUUUAAUUUGUGAGUAAAGUUUUUAAUAUACAUGUCCGUAGCGAUCCAAAAGAAAAUAAUAUAAAUAAAGCAUGAUGAGAAACAUAUCAAUACUACUCACCUCUGCUGCACAAAAUUGCGUUCAUAAUUUUGAAAGCCUUUCGGAAGAUAGCUCGGACAAAGGAUCUGACAUAUUCACUCUGGAAAAUUAAUUUUACAAAUUUAUUUGUAUAUUUAAGUGAGCAAAUAUUGCUAGUUAGUUGCUCUAGAGCUAUUAUCAAAUUUGCAAUAGAUCUAUUCGAUUUCAUAUGUCAAGUGCUAUUAUCAAAUCUCAAAAUUAGCUUUUUACCGUGGUCAACUUGGUCAGAUUACAUUACCAUGUUAAUUACAAUUGGAAAAAGUAUAUAUACUCAUAAACUUAGAUAUUAUGAUGUAUUGGCUUAUAUUACAUUACUAUGUUAAUUACAAUUGGAAAAAAAUAGAUUUUAUGAUGCAAUGGCAUAUAUUCGUAGGAACACCAGUCAUGUACUUUUUAAAGUUUAUAAUAAAUGCCAAGUGAUAUAUCAUUUUGCAAUGUCAUUUAUACAUCACGUUGCAAAAUUACAUUUCUAUGCAAAUAUCAUAUUUUGGUGGUGAGUGGAUGUUUAUUUUGAUAUAUUUUUUUAUGUAGAUUGUAACUAAAUCAUAUUUUAGAAUGUAACAUAUAUCUGUAAAAUAUUAACCACAUGUUUUUUUUAUUUUCAAUCCAUGGCAAGCGAAUAAGCAAUAUACCCCAAAUCAUGUACCCAUACCCAGUAGACAUGACAACUAACAAAAAGAGCUGAAAGUAUUUUAUGAAUGAGAUUUUUAGCUUAUAGUGAUGACAUGAUAUUGGUGUCAGAGUAUAGGUGAGGCAUGCAGGUGCAGGGGGACUUUGGGAGGCAUAGAAGCAAGUCAACUUGUACCAAGCAAACAAGCAUGCAUACGCAGCCCUAUAUAGAAACGGAGUGGAGUAGGUACAUCUUACAGCUGCAUUAGUACAUAAUGGACUGACUCAUCCCUGGUGCAAUGUGCAUACGUGUCAGCCAUAUGAGGUGGGUACAUAUGAACCUUGGUUCACUUGGUUCAUAUUAUGCAGCUCCUAUAUACACCUAGGUGUAUGUACUCCCUCUCCCAUCUACCGUCCAUCACAACUAGCCUCUCGAUGAAGUUUGUUACCGGAUCCACCAGGCAGACCCCUUUUAAUUUUUCACGAGAAAAAAUUUUGCGUAGUAAUUGGAAAACAGGAACACUCGGAGCUCGCGUAUAAAUACCUCUCGUCAGCCUAGAUCGAUAAACCAGGUCAUGAGCUGUGUGCGAUAUCUACGGACUACUUGGAGGGAACAACGGCGGGAUCCAUCAGUUGGCGUCUACAGCGAGUCGGAGGCGAUGGUGCGAUACAUCGGCGCGGCAUCUUCUGCCGUGCCGUCAUCGCAGGAUCCCUACAAAAUGGCGUCAGGCGGCGGCACCACGGCAGGACAUGUUCCUCAGAGGCAACGAUGAUCGUGUCGAUCUGGAUGACGGCCAUAACCACUUUUCCCAUUGGAUACCAGCAGGUUUGUUAUUUUAUUUUACCAACAAGUUGUGAUUUGAUUUCAGAUUUUGUCAAGUGAAGCCAAAAACGGCAGUGAUGACACAGGAUCUACGGCAAGUCGAAGGCGACGCCGCGAUCCAUGGGCAUAGUGUUUUCUAGGAACCGGCAGCGGUGAUCCUUCGCAGACGUGGGUACUGCGAUAGAUCCCGUCGGCAAGCCUGUGUGCAGAUGCACCACCACCAAGCCUGACGUUUGAUCUCUUUCCAUUUUCUUUGCGCAUCUCUCACAGAUCUUCCUCUUGUUAGAUCAGUUUCUAUUGCUUACCGAUGAUGAUCAAUUCUACAUCAAUUUCUUUGUGCAUGCAGAUGCGAUGCCAGGACGCAUGCAUGGUGACUGACGGACGACGGCAGACCAGCGUCAGCUGAAGCACAUGGUGCAUAGGUAGCUGCCAAAAAUCAGAGGCGACUGUUGAGUUUGUUAUUACAGCUGUGGCCCCAACGUGUUCCUGGUGAUUGCAGUUGCAACGGUUGAAGGAAUAAAUCUGUGUUUGUUAGCAGAUGCGAAUGAUGCGGUGAUCGAGUCAGAAGAAGACCGCGUCGGUAGCAUUCGUGUGCGUGAGUUUAGCGUGGGUGCGUGAGUCGUCGAAUUCAGAGAAAAGCGGAUCGUGGGAUGGCACGAUUUGAGCCUCGGAUUCUUUCUUUUGUGUGCAGUAUAAGUAGGAGUUUUUGUACUGUUAUUCGAGUUGCAUGUUACUCUGUUCAGUGAAUGAAAACCACAGAAAUUUAGCCCCACAAAUUUCCUAUCUGCUAUUGUUCUCUGAAACUUCUCAAUUUCCUGUGUUCUUGUUCUGCUCUGUAUUCCUCUGAAUCUCGUUCGUUGCCGUGCCGGAUUGCUGCAGUACGCAUGCAAGGUGUUCGAUCGAGGGUCUAGCGCUAACAAGUGGUAUCAGAGCACCCAGGUUUGAGGGCUGGUCUGACACCAUGGCGUUGGUUCCGGCAACGUCGGAUCCGGCGAGGGGGAGCUCGGGGAGCGCUUUCUUGUAUCCACAACUCACGGCCACCAACUACACUAGUUGGGUGAUCCGUGUCCAGGCGAUGAUGGAGGACCAGGGUGUGUGGGAGGUGAUUGAACCGGCGGCCGGGGCGGCCGUCGACCCUCAGAAGGACAAGAAAGCGAAGUCGCACCUGCUGCAGUCGCUGCCAGAGGAUCUCCUCAUGCAGGUGGCAAAGAAACGAUUGGCGAAGGAAGUAUGGGAUUGUCUCAAGACAAGAUUCGUGGGUGCUGAUCGACUGCGUGACGCGCGGCUGUAGACGCUGAAGGGCGAAUUCGGCGCCAUGGUGAUGGAGCCGGGGGAAACCCUGGAUCAGUACGCAGGCCGCAUCACCACGAUGAGCGUGCGCCACUCGGCGUUGGGCUCGACGUUGAGUGAUGCCGCGAUGGUGAAGAAGUUGUUCGACACGGUGCCGGAGAAAUUCGUCAACCUUGUCACAGGUAUUGAGCAGUUUUAUAAUGUUGAUGACAUGCCAUUCGAAGAAGCUGUGGGCCGGCUUAAGGCUUACGAGGAACGGGUGCGUAAGAAGAAGGCAGCGGCCGGCGGAGUCACCACCGACGGGCAGGUUCUUCUCACUCAGGCUGAGUGGGAGGCGCGGUUCAAGAAGGAUGGCGGGGAGUCAUCGUCGCCCCAGAAAGGGAAAGCUUCCGGAGAGGGAGCUAAAGGCGGCCAAAGCGGUCGCGGACGCGGGCGAGGCCGUGGCGCAGGUGGGCGCGGUGGCGCCGCUCGCGGCAACUCUGCAAGUGGCUCAGGCGGCGGUGGCCGUGACAAGAGCCACAUCAAAUGCUUCAACUGCGAGGAGUAUGGUCACUAUUCCAACCAGUGUCCGCACCCAAAGAAGAAGAAAGGAGAAGCACACUUGGCCCAGACUGAGGACGCCGGCGCCGCGCUGCUGCUUGCGGUGACCGAGAACGCGCCGGUGCAAGCGACGCAGGAGAUGUUUGUGCAUGAGGAUCGUGUGUGGCCAAACUUGCUGCUGGCUGAUGGUGGCGCGGUGGCUGGAAACGUCUGGUAUUUGGACAACGGCGCUAGCAACCACAUGACCGGAGAUCGCAAGAAAUUCAGAGAGCUAGAUGAAUCAAUAACUGGCAGCAUCAGGUUUGGGGAUGCAUCGUCGGUGCAGAUCAAAGGGAAGGGAUCUGUUCUCUUUUCUUGCAAGAAUGGUGACCAAUGGCUUCUCCAGGACAUGUACUACAUUCCUAGCCUCUGUUGCAACAUGGUGAGCUUGGGGCAACUCACUAAAACAGGGCAUCGAGUGGUGAUGGACGAGGAUGUCCUCGAGGUGUUCGACAAGUGUCCUUGGCGACUGGUGAUGAAGGUGAGGCAUACCACGAAUCGUCUCUACCGGAUCGAGCUCAACCUUGCCUAUCCAGUGUCCCUGCUAUCCAGCCUUGAUGAUCCGGCGUGGCUGUGGCAUGCACGUUUGGGGCAUGUGAAUUUCCAAGCGAUGAAGCUGUUGGUGGACAAAGGCAUGGAGGUGGACGUACCGGCCAUCGUUCACCCGAAUCAGCUUUGUCAGGUGUGCUUGGUGGCGAAGCAAAUCAGGGCGUCCUUCCCUGUGGUGGUGAACUACAGGGCGGAGGAACCACUGGAGCUCAUUCACAUUGAUCUGUGCGGGCCGAUCUCGCCGGCGACGAUGGCUGGUAACAAGUAUUUUGUUUUAAUCAUUGAUGACUUCACACGGUGGAUGUGGGUGUUUGUGAUUAAAUCCAAGGAUCAAGCAGUGGAGGCCUUCACCAAGUUUCAAACCCCUGGCCGAGAACGUGGCCGGGCGGCGCAUCAAGACGCUGAGGUCGGAUCGCGGCGGCGAGUUCCUGUCCGGCGAGUUUGCACAGGUGUGCGAAUCGGCUGGCAUCCAGCGGCAUCUCACUGCGCCGUACUCGCCGCAACAGAACGGGGUGGUGGAGCGCCGGAACAGAUCAGUGAUGGCGAUGGCGCGCUCCCUCUUGAAAGGGAUGAGUGUAGCAGGCAGACUUUGGGGGGAGGCGGUGCGCUACGCGGUGUACAUCCUCAAUCGGCUGCCAACCAAGGCGAUGGGUAAUCGUACUCCAUACGAGGCGUGGAUGGGGAAGAAGCCACAUUUGGCACACUUGCGUGUGUUCGGGUGUACUACACAUGCGAAGAUCACAACGCCACAUCUUAAGAAGCUGGACGACCGGAGUGCACCGUAUGUGUACUUGGGGGUGGAAGAAGGGAGCAAGGUGCAACGGCUGUUCGAUCCACGUCGCGGUCGCAUCCACGUAAGUCGUGAUGUCAUAUUUGAAGAAAAUGUUGUUUGGCAGUGGCUUGGAGAUGCAGGCGAGCAAGUCUCCGUUGAAUUUGAUGUUGAAGAAAUCGUUGAGCCACCAGCCGGCUCGGCGACAUCGCUGCCAGGCGCGAUACCGAGGUACCAGGCGCCAUCACCCGGCAACCGUCCUGGCAAGGAGCCGGUGGUGGUAGAAGAGGAAGCUUCCUCUCCGGCAGGCACGAUGGAGGCGUCACCGUCACUGCCGACCACUCCUGCUACGCCUAUCGGUGAACAGAGUACACCGCACUCUGCUGGCGAAAUUGACACCGAUGGUGCUCCUGUUCGGUACAGGCACAUUGCCGAUAUUAUGAGAGAUGCGCCCAGGGUGGACUUGGUUGACGAUGAACAAGAUGGUGAGGCAUUGCUUGCAGAGAUGGAGGAGCUGUCAGCUUACCAUGAAGCAGCCGGUCACCCGGCGUGGGAGGACGCCAUGGCUAUGGAGAUGGAUGCCAUUGAGUGCAACGGGACGUGGGAACUCACCACGUUGCCAGCUGGCCACAGGGCAAUUGGGCUUAAGUGGGUUUAUAAACUCAAGAAGAACACUGCGGGAGAAGUGAUCAAACACAAGGCUCGGUUGGUGGCAAAAGGAUAUGUGUAGAGACAAGGAGUCAAUUUCGAUGAAGUCUUUGCACCGGUGGCAAGACUUGAUACAGUAAGAGUUGUUCUUGCUCUAGCAGCUGAUCGCCGGUGGCAGGUCCACCACCUUGAUGUCAAGUCAGCCUUUCUUAAUGGCGAGCUAGAAGAGGAGGUAUAUGUUGCACAGCCAGAAGGUUUUGUCAAGCAAGGCAGAGAGCAUCUCGUGCUCAGGUUGAACAAGGCAUUAUAUGAACUCCGGCAGGCGCCGCGAGCCUGGAACAUUCGCCUAGAUAGAUGUCCGAAACAGCUCGGUUUUGAGCGGUGCACGCAGGAGCAGGCUGUGUAUACUCGGGGCACAGGCAGUGGUGGUGUCAUCGUUGGCGUCUAUGUCGAUGAUCUGAUUGUGACUGGUGAAAAUCCUGUUGAAUUGAAGAUGUUCAAGGAACAAAUGAUGGGGGAGUUCGAGAUGAGUGAUCUCGGUCUGCUCUCGUUCUACCUCGGGAUUGAAGUUGAUCAGGGAGAAAAUGGAACCACGCUGAAGCAAACUGCCUAUGCCAGAAAAGUGCUUUCUCAGUUCGGGAUGCUGGAGUGUAAUUCAACCUCAAUUCCGAUUGAUCCAAGGAUGCAGCUGAACAAAGUCGCAGAUGGUCACCCGGUGGAUGCAACUGAGUAUCGGCGAGUGAUCAGUUGUCUUCGAUAUCUGUUACACACAAGGCCAGAUCUUUCCUUUGCUGUUGGAGUGGCAAGCAGAUUUAUGGAGCGGCCAACUCUUAUGCACUUCAAAGCAGUGAAACAAAUUCUCAUAUAUCUGAAAGGUACAAUUGAUUGUGGCCUUGUGUAUGCAGCUGGAAAUGGUGAUAUGCAGAUUACUGGGUAUACAGACAGCGACCUCGCUGGGGAUGUUGAUGACCGCCGGAGCACGGGUGGUAUGGCGUUCUACAUCAAUGGCAGUUUGGUUGCUUGGAGCUCGCAGAAACAAAAGACCGUGGCGCUGUCGUCGUGUGAAGCUGAGUUUAUGGCGGCCACGGCAGCAGCUUGUCAUGCGCUUUGGCUAAGAGCACUGCUGGUUGAGAUUGUUGGAGGACCGACGAAGGUGGUUAAGCUGUUUGUGGAUAACAAAUCAUCGAUUGCUCUCAUGAAGAAUCCAGUGUUUCAUGGGAGAAGCAAGCACAUCGAUACACGAUAUCACUUCAUUCGUGAGUGUUUUGAUGGAGGGCAAGUGGUUAUUGAGUUUGUCCGGACUGAGGAACAGCGAGCAGACGCUCUGACAAAAGGUUUGCCGGCGGCGAAGCUGGCGACGGCCCGGCACCUUCUUGGUGUUCGUUUUCUUGGGCCACAGCAGAAUUAAGGGGGAGAUUGUUGAGUUUGUUAUUUCAGCUGUGGCCCCAACGUGUUCCUGGUGAUUGCAGUUGCAACGGUUGAAGGAAUAAGUCUGCGUUUGUUAGCAGAUGCGAAUGAUGCGGUGAUCGAGUCAGAAGAAGACCGCGUCGGUAGCAUUCGUGUGCGUGAGUUUAGCGCGGGUGCGUGAGUCGUCAAAUUCAGAGAAAAGCGGAUCGUGGGAUGGCACGAUUUGAGCCUCGGAUUCUUUCUUUUGUGUGGAGUAUAAGUAGGAGUUUUUGUACUGUUAUUUGAGUUGCAUGUUACUCUGUUCAGUGAAUGAAAACCACAGAAAAUUAGCCCCACAAAUUUCCUAUCUGCUAUUGUUCUCUGAAACUUCUCAAUUUCCUGUGUUCUUGUUCUGCUCUGUAUUCCUCUGAAUCUCGUUCGUUGCCGUGCCGGAUUGCUGCAGUACACAUGCAAGGUGUUCGAUCGAGGGUCUAGCGCUAACAGCGACACCUAAUGCAUUUGUUCAAACCUCCCAGAGAACUAAAUAGGUUCUGAAUUUUUCAGCAGCAUAUAUAGAUAUCUACCUCUUGUUUCUUUUUCUCUAUUUUUCGAUCCACUUGUUGAUUCUGAAUCUUGUGAGCAUGAUAUCAUUAUACCUCUUGUUUUUUGUAUUUACAGAGGAAUUUUGUAUCAUACUUCUGAAUUUUGCUCGUGGAAAAGCAUAUUAUACUACACACUUGAAAAGCUAUAAAUGGCUUAUCUAAGUAAUAGUGGUAUAUACUACUAAAUCUAAGAAAUAGUGUAUCUACUUAUUUAAAGUAUAUGCAUCAUAUACUGACGAAACAAAAAGAGAAGUAUAUGCAGAUACUGAGCAAACAAGAAAGCAGUAUGAACUCCUUUAGCGAGGAGAUGCAGUAUAUAGUGACCAAACAAAAUAGUAGCAUACGCAGCAUAUACUGACCAAACUAAAAAAACUAGUAUAUAUAUGCUCCUUCAAUAAUAAUGUAGUAUACACUGGCUAGAAAUUUCAAGAAAACAGUAUAUACUGUUCGAAGGAAUAAGUAGCAUAUACUUAUAAGAAAACAGUAUAUAUUGUUCCAAGAAGCAGUAUAUACUUAUAAGAGAGAGUAUGCGAACAUACUAUAUACUACAUUGCUACUAGAGUAUGCAGAAAGCAGUACAUAUGUACAUUCAUAUAUAUACUUUGUGAAAGAAAUCAGUACAUUCAGAGAAAAAAUCAGUAUACCCCAGCUCUUAAAGAAAUCAGUAUAUGCUCGGUCAAGAAGAAAUCAGUACAUACUCUUUCGGAAAUCAGUAUAUGCUCGGUCAAGAAGAGAUCAGUACAUACUCUUUCGGAGAAUAUAUCAGUAUAUACUGAACAAAAAAAGUAGUAUAUGCUGCUAUAAUUAAGUAAAACGAGUAAAGUUUAUACUACUACUACUAAGUGAGAAAAAAAUAUACUUCAAAUGUUUAUAAUCGGAUUUUUCUACUCAGUUUGCAUGGUAGAAGAUCCAUGUCUUUAGAGGACGAUUACGUACGUUCACAGUUCAAAUUUGAACUUAUGCACCCGGUUCAACUAAUUGUGCAUGCAUGCAUCAUGUAGCGAUUAGAGGAAAUUAAUAUUUUCAUUCUUUUUCCCAGCAGUUUAAUUGUUAAUGGGUUAUCCGCUAAGGGGAGGGAGUAUGUACUCUCGGGAGUACAAAACAUUGAUCCUAUAUAUAUAUAUAUAUGUAUAUAUAUAUAUAUAUGUAUGUAUAUAUAUGUAUGUAUAUAUAUAUAUAUAUGUAUGUAUAUAUAUAUAUGUAUAUAUAUAUAUACGUAUAUAUAUAUAUAUAUAUAUAUAUAUAUAUAUAUAUAUGUAUAUAUACACAUAUAAUAGUACUUUAAUGCGCAUCUUAUUAGAUUGUUCAUCUGUUGCCAAAACAAUAUUUGGUAAAGAAAAAAAAUCCUAUAUGUAUGACCAUAAUUCUCGUGAUGGAUUAAGGGGUUGUAUUAUAGAAAGAUAACUGGUUGGAAAUUUUUUUUGAUAAUGUUUCACAUCUAUGGAAAUUCUCCUCACCUAUCAAAUACCAAAUAACACAAAUUAAAAACUUUGAGAAUAUUAACCUUACACAAAAAUAAAAUAAAAUCAGAUCUAACUGAAAAACACAACUAAAUUAUGUUUUUCAUUUUACAUACAUAGAUUUAAAUUAGAGUUCUGUGUUUGUCGAGUAAUAUUUGACACCAUAAAAUAUGAUGUGAAAUUAUUUAAAAAAUUAUUAUGACAUUAAUUAUUAUAUGUCGGUAUCAUGACUCGUGAUGUAUUUAGCACUACAAUUUAAUUUAACAAAUACAACCAAAUCAUAAAUUGAAUAUAUAAUUUAAAAGAGUGACAUUUAAAGUAUGUUGAUUUGAUAUUUUAUUUUUUUAUUAUAGACCUAGUUUAUUUAUACUUUGUAGAGUAAUAUAUUUUAUUUAAAAAUAUAAUUUUAAAGAUUGUGCACAUACGUAAGUGUUGACGAAAAAAUCGAACACACCGGCCUGGGAGAUCUGCUUAGCUCCAGUGCAGGUCCAAAGAUUGAUGAGAUGCGAGCGUACCAGUCAGUUUGAUCCUGCAACUGACAAGAUAUGCAAAUAGUAGAUCAAAACAGCCGAUCGGCUAACAAGCCGAUGGAGUAGUUCCAGCCGAUAGCCGAUAAUAGCCGAUGCCGAUACCAGCCGAUAGCGAUAGGGUGUAAGAAAUCGGCUAUAUGUCCAAUGUAGAUAAUGAUAUGAAGGCAAUCGGCUGAUGAUAAUAUAAUAUAGCAAUAUAAUCCAGUAGAAACCAAUCGACUAACAAUAAUAUGAUAGAAUAAACACUUAUCCGAAGGUUAAAGCACACAUCGGCUGGAGGUCCGAUGCCAUAAAAUCCAAAUGAUUAGAUAAAACAGUGAAACAUUUGUUGUCAUCAGCUAAAUCCAACUUAUAUAUAUAUAUAUAUAUGCAAUCCUUAUAAGCCGAUGCAAUGUCUAGAUACCUCAUCGGCUAAAACCCCGAUGAAACCCUUAUUGGCAGUCAAAACGCAGCUAGAGAUUAUGGUUCUAAGCACCACUUAGUAGAUCAAACUUAACUGAUGCAGCACUAAGUAUGAAGAGAAACAUAAUAUCUAGACAAUAGACAAUCAAGCUAUUGACUGAGUUUUCAGGGUGGUAGAUGUCUAAGCUAAUAUAAUCUAGCAAAUCGAUUUAGCCGAUACCGGCAGAAGCCCUAAAACGAGAAGCAGCCGAUAGAGCUAAAUUGAUAUGCUAAGACUAGAUUAACAGAGACAUAUGAUAAAUAGGUAGGCAAAUAUAUUAUCCAAACCAGAGCAAUCCAAGAGGUCGAAUGUACUGAUGAAGCCUUGAACGACGCCGACGUAGACGAUACAAUUGCCUAGACCGGCGGAACAUUGGACUUAUCCCUUCGCCAGAGAUCGAAGACGAUGCAGCCCCGCGUCGGGUGCCAAGUUCCGCCGGAACGUAAAAACAAAAGUAGAAGUAAAAAGGGUGGCGAUACGCCGAAUUGUAUUGAUCGUAGCGAUAGAUUACAUAGACCCCGGGUGUACAUAUUUAUACCCAUGUGUUGAUACAUGUCCUUGUCGGACAAGAAAGAAACUUUCCUAAAGAUAAAAGGAAAAGAUAAAGUCCUUAUAGGACACUAAACACACUUUCCUAAAGAUAAAAGGAAACUAACAAACUAUUCCUAAUUAAUAGAUAACUUGCCAUGCCGCAUUCUCUUUGAACUCGGUCUCUUCUAGAUAAGCUUCCUUUAGUAGAUCAAUUUCCUUAACUGAAUAUAGCAAGAAUCCGACAACUGACGACUUGGCAACUCUCAUCGGCUAAUCUCAGGACUUCAAAGCCAAUGCUGACUCUAAGCCGAUGACUACUCCGGGCUUACCAAAUUUCACUGUUAACAGUAAGGAUAUAUGUUCUUUUGGCUUUAGUGUAUUUGCCGAUUGUGCACAUACGUAUAGGAGUAUGUACUUAUAUGUAUGUAUACAUAGGAAAUAUGUUCUUUCGGGUUUAUCCGUUUUUGGUUUUCUCAAAUCAUUUUUCGUACAUAUUGUGAGGCCCUGAAUGUACUAAAGAUGAUGUUCAAACUUAUCUGAAGAAAACAGGGAUUCCAGAGCUAGCUCAAUGGGAAUGAUGGAUAGCUAAGAUUUCCUGAUACCGCUUCGCUGUGUUGAUUACACAAAUCCAAGGGCUGAGAUGUGCCUGGACGGUCUACAGAGAGCUUUUCGCCAUACUGUAGUCGUCAUCAAGUUUGUCCUCUAGUUCUGGCGAACUCCAUAUAAGGCGCGACGCUAGCUAAUAUCAGUAUGCGAAAAUAUGAACCCUAGUUUUAUUCCCCUCUUUUGUUCUUGCGGCACACUCUAAAUAUAAUCCAAUUUCAGCUCUAUUUCAGCAUUUCCCAUAUUAAUUGUUGUGUUAGGGUACCUAAUUAGCUAGCUACCAGCCUAAAUUGUCUAAAUAUUUCUGUUUUUCGUGCAUAUUUCUUCAAGUUCCUAACAAAAGGUAUCAGAGCUCAGUCAAUCCUUGGCUUAACCUAUAGAUCUGGCAAUUCUAGGCUGGUAAGGGUUGGGGAAACAAGUAUUCCUUGUGAAAUUCCAUAGCCAGGCCAAUAAAUUAGAUCUAUGGGUGGAGGAAUCGAGCAGUACAGGGAGGAUUGGGGAAGGCUGUGGUUCUUCCCUGUGAAAUCUCCGAAUCUGUGCUAUUCAACAUGGCAAGGGGUGGGCGCACUGCUGAACCAGUGGAAGAAUGAGAAGCGCCGUUAUGGGAGGCGGCGGUGGAUCACUUGAAGCAGAAUAUGGAGGAAUUUCAAAAGAAAGUGGAAGAUGAGAACAAAAUGCUCCAUGAGAGGAUCCAGCUUCAAGUGAAGCAAACCCAGGACAACAAGGAAGAGGUUAUGCAGAGUCUCAAGGUGAUUCAAGAUAUGAUUGGUGCAAGUAUGAAUUGUGUGGGGGCAAGAAAUCAGAGAUACCUCUAGAUCUCCAGUAAAUGCACAAUCUGUUGCUCCCCAGGCCGAAAGGAUGAAGGUAAUUCAGCUAAAACUCCCAAGGCCCCCCUUUUCGAGGUCAGAAAUCUAAGUGCAAUACCCAUUUUGGAGAUGGGUGAAGGUUCAGUUCACUUCCCAACCCCCCCCAUGUGAGCCAUCACCCCACAAACACAUUCCCAAGUCCUGAAUGGAAUUCUUCAAUUUAUUCCAAUACACCAAGCAUACCACCCCCAUAGCCACCACCAAUUCCUCUCCUCCAACAUCCCUGCCACCACACCAAUUCCCACCUAUUCCAACCAUACCACCACCACCACCAAUAUUCCCGCCUAUUCCACCAACACCAACAGGGCGGCAGCUACAUAUGCAAUUUGGCUCCCCUGGCCCAUGGAACUAUACUCAAGGAGGACCUCCACCUAAUGCAUAUGCUUCCUGUCGACGAGUGAUACUCGCGGACCGAAUGAAUAGAGUAUUGGGGUACGUUGAAACAGGGGUCUACAUAGUACGACAUCAAAAUAGACAAAAGACAAGAAUUAUACUGGUUCAGGCCCCUUAACAGGUAAUAGCCCUAGUCCAGUUUAUAUGGGAUUGAUGAUGAUGAGAACAGAUUACAAAGAGAGUAAUCGAAACAGGCGAUACCGACGAGAUCGUAGUCAAGGGAUUCGACAAGAUCUCCCGGCGAGUUGGCUCCGUGGACUCUGGCUUCGUAAACUUUGGUGGGUGUGUUGGCGAUGAGAUGCGAUGCCCUUUGCCUCCCCCUAGGGGUCCCUUUUAUACUGUGGAAUACCUUGACCCCCAAGUAAGACUUGGAGUUAUGUAAACCGACGCGAUGAGUAGGACUUCGGCAAUUCCUUAACUCAUAGAAAUAUUUUCCAUAAUCUGAGGCAAAUUUCUAACGGCGUAUGUGGGAACCAACCUUAUACGUGAGGGUAUACAUUAUCAGUAUAUCUCAUAAGUCGUAGGAUAGAGAGUAUGCCUUAUUCGUAACCCUGACACUUCCCCUUACCCACCUUACCCACAAUACUAUUACCCACCCUACAAUCCCAAUUGGCUUCCAGCUCCUAAACAACAUCAACCACCUUGGCCUCUUUGUGAUCCAUCUAUUCUACUUGACAGAGGACCUUUUCAAGGCAAAGCAUUUGGUGAACCAUAUUGUCAUUGUGAACACACACUCCACCUCCAAUAGGAAACAUGUCGAUUUUCCUAUUUUCGAUGGUGAUUAUCCUAAGGCUUCGAUUCGCAAAGUAGAAAAAUACUUCUUUCUCACACAAACUCUUGAAGAUGAGAAGGUCUUAAUGGCAGAGGCCUACAUUACAGGCUAAGCUGACCAAUGGAUAUCUAGUUACGAUAUCCCAACAGAACAUUUAUCCUGGCCGGAGUUUUGUAAGAUGUGCCAGAGGUUUGGGGCCAAGUCCACAAUUGAAAUUACUGAUCAAUUCAGGAAUUUGAAGCAAUAUGGCUCAGUUGAUGCUUAUAUCGACAAAUUUAGAUAAGUAAUGGCAUUAGUAAAAAGAAACAGGCCAAAUCUCACAGAUAAUUACUUUUUGGAAUUACUUUUUUGGAUUAUAUUAAGAGACCACUCAAAUCUCUGAAUAUUCACUCCUUGGUGGAAGCUUAUGAACAUGCUUGGAAUUAUGAUGGAGCUACCAACCCUAACAAACCUCAACCAUCCUCCCAUACUACCUUGAAAGAGUUUCAAACCUCAAACCAAACCCCAAAUAGCCAAUGAUGCUCCACCUCAUGACGAGAAAACACAUGUUGUCUAUACAAGUAAAUGGGGAGGGAAGUGUUUUAAAUGUCAGGAACCUUAGGUCCAUGGUCAUGGUUGAGUUUGCAAGGCAACUAAGAUGAUAUAUCUUGUGACAAUGGAAGAUGACAUUUAGGCGUUGAAGAGAUACAAGAGCCUCCUUUUACCACACCUCCUGGCAGUCCUCAAGCCACUUAUGGUAAUACAUCUGCCUAGGAAUUAACUCUGCAUGAUUUGGCUGGGAAUAAUUCUGCUGCUACCACUUUCACAUUACACUUGUAUUUGGACAAGGUGCUUGCUACAGCACUUGUAGAUAGUGGCAGUUCUACCACAUUCAUUUCACCAAAAUUAGUUUCUGGAGCUAAUAUCCCUAUCCUCAGCCACUCCCCCCUCUCAGUAAAGGUUGCUAAUGGUGACACAUUGCAGACCAGUGCCAUCUGCCACAAUAUCUCUUAUACCAUCCAAAAUGAGCAAUUUGUCUCUUCCUUCAGGUUUUUGGAUAUGAAAGGUUAUGAUAUCAUUCUGGGUAGUGAUUGGAUUUUGGCCCAUAGUCCUCUCACUGUUGAUCUCAAAGCAAGAGAGUUGACAGUGUUCACUCCUUUAGGGAAAGCAAUCACAUUCUCAAAUGUCACAAUUCCCCCUGCCAAUUUUGUUAUCUCUGCUCAUGAAAUGGACAAGCUUCUAGUGCAUGACAGUAUUGGUGCACUUCUAUAUUGCAAGACCUUGCAGAGUACUGUGUAGCCUUGGGCUCAUACACCUUUAGAACUCCUUGCAGUUCUCCAAGACUUUCUUGAUGUAUUUGAGGAAGCUAACAAGUUACCCCCACACAGGGAGUGUGAUCAUACCAUUCCCUUGCUGCCACUAACUAAACCAAUUUCAGCCAGACCUUAUUGACUUCUUCACCACAAAAAAAUGCAUUGGAAGAUUUGGUUCAGCAACUCUUGGAUGCCCAGACUAUUCAACCAAGCAUGAGUAAUUAUUCUUCUCCUGCAAUUCUUGUCAAGUAAAAAGAUGGAACGUGGUGUUUGUGCAUUGAUUAUCGUCAAUUGAAUGCAGUCACAAUUAAGAACAAGUACCCUAUUGCAAUAAUUGAGGAUUUGCUGGAUGAAUUGCAAGGAGCUUGUUACUUCUCUAAAAUUGACCUUCGGUCUGGCUACCAUCAAAUCCGAAUGAAUCCUGCAGGCAUUCAUAAGACAGCUUUUAGCACUCACAUUGGCCAUUUUGAGUACUUGGUGAUGCCAUUUGGACUCACAAAUGCUCCAACCACAUUUCAAGCUUUGAUGAACAAAAUUUUGGCUCCACAUCUCAGAAAAUUCGUCUUAGUCUUUUUUUAUGACAUUCUAAUUUAUAGUAAGACCUUAUCUGAAUAUUUACAUCAUGUGAGACAAGUUCUUCAUAUUCUCAGAACUCAUAAUCUCUCAGCUAAACCAAGCAAGUGUGUAUUUGGUCACCAACAAGUGGAGUACUUAGGCUACAUCAUUACUUCUCAGGGGGUUGCUACUGAUACUGCCAAGAUAAAAGUUGUUCAGGAUUGGCCACUGUAGUAGUAGUAGUGAAUAAUAAUAAUAAUAAUAAUAAUAAUAAUAAUAAUAAUAAUAAUAAUAAUAAUAAUAAUAAUAGUAGUAGUAGUAGUAGUAGCAGUGGCAGCAGGGAACCGUACGAUACGUGGCAUUAAAUAUAUUCUAUUGUAUCUUUUGAAUUAUUUUGGAGAGGAAGACAGAUAAAUAUCGUUGAGUGUUGAUGAAAUGGAUAGGAUCGAACACUCCUGAGGUAAGGAAGAGAGAGGGUGAAACCUAUCCACCUCAUCAUGACUCUGGGACAGAUGUCCUCCUUAGACCAAAGGAAACUGCUCUAUGUAAAGCCCGUACUUAACCCUAUACCACUUGCACCAUCAGUAGAACUUUUCCUACUCUUGUUGUGGCGAGGGCCAUGGGAGAUUAGAGCUAGUAGAAGCCUUCUAGGUAAUGCCUGGAACCUGUGCUUUGGUUUUUUACGAGUAUAUGGCUAGUUCUAUAGGUAGUAUAAACACAUGAUGUCUAGCCAUAGAAUAGGUGGAUCAGUGUCUAGUAAAUGCACUAGAAGAAAAUAUAUAUAUUAGUGAAAAGACUAGUACUUUUAAUGGCUAGCAGCAGUUACAUGCAUGCUCGACUAACAUGCAAGCACCUGCUACUACAUGUUAGGUUCUCUUUCUUUAGUAUAGUCACAUCAACUAGCUACCUAGUAGUAUGUUAGUAGUUAUCAUGCAUGAAAAUCUAGAUAUUAAUUAAUAUCAAAGAUUUGCAUAUUUGACUAGGUGGGACGCGCUGGUAGAACGGCAGAAACUAGGCAAGACUGCGCCCAUCAACUAUUUUACUUAAUCAUCUCUAACUAAAUUUGCUUACCUGUAUUAUAUUGAGAUGGUGAUGCUAACAAUCUAACAGUAAAUAUUAUUCACCCGAAUAAUGGAUUGAUGAUUUUAUCAGUGAGAAUAAUAACGUGAUUGUGACACACUGAUACUUAGCCUGAGACAGUCGAUACCUGAAACAACGAUAUCGGGUCGGCUGAUAUCAGUGUGAGAUGAGAAAUGCCUCACACAAGUAGGGAAUUUGGCGGCGUGAUCUCAGACGAGGGUAUCACUACUUGCGGAAAAAAUGGAUUGAAGGAACGAGAUUGUGACGGUUAUUUUAAUACCUCUGCAGAAUGUAUUUAACUCACUAUGUUUAGUGUCUUUUACUAUUUAUCGGCUGUUAAUAUCUAUGGGUAGUAGUAUUUUUCUUUAAAAAUAUAUAUGUAGAUAUAUGUACUAAUCUUGCUGAGUAUGUACAACAUACUCAUAUAUUCUUACUAUUUGAUGUGCGCAGAAACUAGUCAAGAUGAGAUGUCAGAGGGAAAUGGUGACAUGCAGACCUAGUGGGGAGUGUGGUCUACUUAGUCUUUAGAGUCAUACAAGAGGACAUAUACCUGCAUGCUAGGUACAGGGAAUCGUCCUGGUGAUAAUAAGUUGGUCAGUAAACCAACCGAUGUAUUAAGAAAUGUAGCUGGUGAAAAAUAAAUGGAACCAUUACUGUAGGUGUCCAAGCUUCAGUUGUGAUAGUUAGACAUUACAUCUUGCCUUGUAUCCUUAUGGACAUAUAUAUAAGUAUUUAGUAUAUAUGCUAUAUAAGGAUACGGCAGACUGUAAAAAAAAUACAAUUUUUUGGGUCAUGACAGCCAGUUCCUGCUAAUGUCACACUGCUCAAAGGAUUUUUAGGUCUUGCGGACUACUACAGGAUCAGAUUUAUUAAGAAUUUUGGAGUUAUUUGCCGCCCACUCUUUGAUGCUCUUAAGAAGAACAAUUUAAUUGGGGUUCAUAACAGCAGGCUGCCUUUGAGCAAAUCAAACUUCAAUUGGCCCAAUCCCCAGUCUUGGCCAUGUCUGAUUUCUCACAACCUUUUGUAUUGGAGGCUGAUGCUAGUGGAUUUGUAAUUGCAGCAGUGUUAAUGCAAAAUGGUCGGCCCUUAGCAUAGGGUUGUUUCCAAGUACAAUUAAGCUUAGAAAUCACCUAGAACUUAAAGAAAUCCUGUAUCAAACAAGAAAAUACAAGAAAUAUCUAGAUUGGAUUUGAACUUUGUGCUGAAGGUCUGACCGCCUGGACACAUGAGGUCUAACUGGCCACACAAUGGCGGACCGACCGCUUUCACGGGAAAGACUCGGUAGUUUCCAAAUCUAAUGAGAAUUUGCUAUAAAUCCAAACAAAUGCUAAAUUUGAGUGUCAACCCAAUGUGGCAGCAUAUCUCCCUAAAAAUAUCACUUUUUUUCCUGGAUUGUUGUUCUUUUGUUCUGUUUUAUUUUCUAGUUUGAUUCAGUGAGAAGUAUCAAGUAUCGGGUGCUUUGUAUGUUUGGAUCGAUGGCUCUCAGACGAACGGGCGCUCUGCUGAUCUGUUCAUGAGCAAGCUAACACGAUUGGAUAUUUCCUUCUGCAUCCAUCCAAAUUACAAAGCGGAAAUAUUCUUUCCCCAUCAGUUUCUCUAGGUUUCACUUUUUUGGCCGAUUUGGUGUCCAUUGUUUCAAUCAUUUUCGCAUUUUUGCUGUAUGUCCGCUCUCCCUGCUGGUGCCCAAGCUAUCCCCGCUGCCGCGAGGAGGCGCAGGGAUUUGAGGCCAGCUGUGGAUGGAAGAGAUGAGAGAGAGACGUGUGGGAAUGAAGGAUGAAAAAUGGCAAUUUGAUCCACAAAUUUUAUAAAAUGGCUUGAACGUGUAUAGGUAAGUAGUGGCAUAUAACCAGUAACUGUGCAAGUAUAAUGAUAAUAUAAAUAGUUGAAUAUUAAUGGCAUAUUUUAAAACUAUGAAAGUUAUAAUGGCAUGGAUCCAAUGAACCCAUGAUUCUAUCCUCCUACCAAUGUUAAUUACUUUCUUUUGAAAUUAUAAUCCCCUUCAAGCCAUGUUGCUUAGCCUUCCUCAACAAUGUAGUUAUCUCAUUACAAAUUAACAUUCGCACCAAUAUCCAUCCUAAAUACCAUUAAGAAGACUUUUCAAACAAUGAUUUAAGACCCAAGAUCUUACUGAAGACAAGGUUUGAAGGUUACUGAAUAAAUCCCCAUCCUAGUAACCAAAUUCAUUUAUAAUUGAAACCACAUGGUAAUAAAUAGCCAAAAUGUUACGAAUUGUAUGUAUCUGAGCAAUACAUGCCUUGUUUAGUACUUUCAAGUAAUUUUCAGAGUAUUCUAGUAUGGCCAAAUGAUGUUUUUAUAGGCACUCAUACUCCAUACUUCUUUCAUUAGAAAAAUAGUUGUAUCUACGUUCGUAAUGGUAUCCAUAUCAAAUGGAAGAAAUGCUAAAUCACUAGGUUUAAAGGUAGAUGAAUAGGAAUAGGAAAUGAAAACCUUCACAGUUACUAUCUGACAACAGCAAUAUUGUGAGAUAACACCAGCAAUAAGAAUGAGAACUUCCGGUCCUAUUCAAGUUAUCAUAUAAAAUGAAAACUUGCAUUCCUGUUCAAGUUCACUCUUAUCUUAAAACUGCAAUAAAAUUUUAGAACACGACCGAUGAAUUCCUCCCUAGAUUACAAGAAAUAUUGAAGAACAAAGGAGAUGCAGAGAGUUUAUGAUAUAUAUGGGCAUCUAUUGCUGUGUCUUCUAUGUGAAGACUCACUGCAAGGUUAGUUGCACCUUAGACUGUAUUUAGUCAUGAAUUGUACUGUAUAUGUACUGUUUUCACCGAAAACUGUCCCCAUGUAUUUUUCAGAUUUUCUUUUCUCCUGUUUAUUUUCUUCUAUUCACUGUUUGUGUCCAUGUGGGUCAAGAUAUUUGAGGACAAUAAUUGUUAGGAUGAAUAGGAAUUGGAGGCCCCAGGAAAAUAUGUUGCUCCUAUCAAGUGGACAAAGGUGCAAUGUAACAUUCAUGUUGUUCACAUAAGGCGAAAGGGCGUUUUCAUUAGUUUAUGAAUUACCAUACAUAAAACCAAGAAUUGGAGAAUCAGUUGACAGUUCAACCUGUUUCACAAGUCAAGUUUGCAAGAUGUUCCAAUUAUGCAAGUAAUUACAGCAUGCAUGUGUGCAUGUGUCUCACAAGUAUACUAAAUGAUCAAUCAAACAAUCAACAGCUUAUUUUAUUUUACAUGAUAAAAAUUAGGUAUACUAAUAAUAAAAAGAUAAAUACAACAUAACUUAGAUAUGAUGGUAAAUUAUUUAUGUAAUUAAUUUAUAAUAUGUAAAAUGUGGAGUACUUUUGUUUUGCUCAUUUGAUAACCAUGGCAAACCCCAUCUUGAAAUUUUGGUUCCAUUCACCAUAUGGCAAGUCAAUACUACUAAUCAAGUUUUUGUUCUAUCUUGAGAAUUCUUCCUGGAGAAAUGUUGUUCUUUAUAUCCAAAAAGUACCCCUUGCUGACAAGAACAGCUUUCUAACAAAUCAAAAUGCACAUAAAUAAUUUUGUUGCCAUAUAUGUAGCCAACAUAAUGUAGCUAGGAAUCAUGGCUAGCCUCCCCAUGUCUUAAUCUCUCUCCAAGGGAAACUCUAACAAGCUUCCUUGGCCAUAAACACGGAUUCCACUAUCAAAAAAACAACUAAAAAACUUUUUUUAAUAUAUCUCCUUUAUUUUCAUUAAAGCAAAAACACCAUAAGUAAUUAAAAAUCAAUUUUCAGAUGGUCAUUUAAGUCAACCUGCAGCUGCAUUAAGACACCCACAUUACCACAUGUCAAAAUCAAGUUUUUUAAGCCAACUGUAUGUGAAAAUCGAUUUUAAUAUGUGGGUUGGCCAACCGCCUGUGAAAAUUCAUAUUUUCACAUACCUUGCUCCCAAGUGGUUCUCUUGGCUGUAUGUGACAACUACUUUUAGUUGUACAUGCACAUAUUAUGGAAUAGUGUUUAGAAUAAACUUCGGAGAUGACAAACAAACACUCUAAAUCACUUAAUUACCCAUUCCACUCAUGUUCUUAUGCUUUUUUUAAUAAUAGAAGCUUUAUUGAAACUCAAUCAAUUACAACAAAAUGAUACAAUCCAACUUAGCCCUCUCUUGAUCUCUACAUAAAAUACACAGCCAAACAAACCAACUAAAACCCCAUCCGAAACACAAAAGUAGAACAGAAACAUAAAAACUAGUGUCCCGAAGACUAGACUGUCAUACAUACUUCUAAGUAAAAAAAAAAACUCUCAUGCCACAUGGUCCAAUUGCCGUGAUACUACCGCAAUAGUGUCCCGAAGUUCCGAAUUAUGAAGCCCAUAUACAUUUUCACCGGGUAACUAAAGUAACAGCAUGCAAAGGAGAAGACACCAUCUUGUUCCUCCUUAGCCAAAUGAAUCAACAAAAAGCUAUUGCACUCAUCAAAAGUGAUUUCUCAUCUCUUUGAGGACCCAUAAGAGCCAACUUUAACAGUGUGAGGAGGUUUAUACAUGUUCUUUUAAUUUGCUUCCUCCAAAAAUGUCACUAAUAAGUUUUGUGAUUGGUUAAACGGGUACGUAUAAAUUAUAAGGGUUAAUUAGAUCCAUACCAUUAUAAAUUUGAAGGUUUUGAAAUAUGCCAUCGAUAUUCGUCUAUUUGAAAACAUGCCAUUACAAUUUCACAGAUAUUUGAGAGAUGCCACUACCUCUUCCAUGCACUUUCUAAAUUUUUUGGACCAAAUUAUCCCUUUCUUCCUCCUUCGUCCUCUCACCCUCUCUUCUGUUCAUAUUCUCAUACCUAGAUCUGGCUGGCCACCCGCGAUGGUGCGCUCCCAAUCUGACGCCAUUUCCAUCCUCCUCGUUCCAGUAUGACCGUAGUGCCCACACCUUCCAUCCUCCUGGUCACAAAGGCUUCUGAAAAAUUCAUCAGAGUUCUUUUCUUUUCCUACCAUGGUUUAAGUGAUGAUGGUCUCGAUAAAGUGUAGGGGCAAGAGUGGGGAGACGCGGAGCUUGUCACCGCCAGCCGAUGGCGGUGGCUAUGCCUUCCCACUUCAUCGGCCGCCGGCAAGUGGAAGGAGACUGCCGCCUCCUAGAGCAAGUGAGUGAGGGCAAGACCGUUCAGCUGCUAGACUGCUCUCCUUUCGGGUUCAGUCUCUGCAUCUUAGUCAGUUAAGUAUAGUUAACAGUGCAAUGCAAAAUUUAUGAUGCACUUUCUUUGGUUAGCCGAGAGUAUCACUGGCAUCGGCAUCAACUUGCUGAACUUGCAAGCUCUUAAGCUUCUCGUCAUCGAACUGCCGGUGUUGUGCGCCGUCGUCUGCUACUUGAUGGGGAUGAACAUUAGAGAAAAAGGAAGGGAAGGAAGGAGAGAGGGACAAUUUGGUCAACAAAAAUUAGAAAAUGAAUGAAAAGGGUAAAUAGUGGCAUAUCUCAAAUAUAUAUGAAAUUAUAAUGACAUGGUUUCAGAUAGGUGAAUAGUGAUGACAUAUUUCAAACCUUAAAAUUUGUAGUAGCAUGGAUCUAAUUAACCCAAAUUAUAAACUACAGAAAUCUUAUUCUAUUGGGUGCAUAUAUAUGCCUUAAUUUGGUCAAUUUGGAUUUGCCAAAAUGAUUCUUUUUAUAGAAUAGAAAAAACAUAAUCAAUUUCAUGUCUUAUUCUUGUAUAUCAGCUGGUUCCAUUUCCAAUCUAUUAUGCAGAGUGAGGACUAAGAUAUUAAGCUUACUGUGUAUAAGAUGGUGGGCUACUAAUAGUGAGCCUGGUUAACCAUUUUAAAUGGUGAGCUACUAAUAGGCUUCAUGUAUAAUAUGUUGUUUCAUGUCUCAUGCUUCUGCUUGGUACAUGCUUUACUUAUUUCAAGCCUCAUCGGUUGCCCAUGUUCUCUAAUAAACCAAAACGGAUUAAUAGGGAAUAAAAAUUAUUUUAUAGAUAAACUUUUAUAUAUUUGUUCGUAACGACUUAAAAGCUAAUACUACAAAAAAUUACAUUGAAAAAUAUCUUAAAAUCAAUGUCAAAAUUAAGUUCAAAAAUUUAAAUUUUGGUUUUUGUUUGGCUUAUUAGGCCAAUCGAUGAGGCUUUCAACUCAUAAGGGUUUUGUCUCCUCAUUGAUCUCAUUUGCUUAUUUCAUAUCAUAGGGAGUUGUUGUCUCUUGUUAAGACUUUUUUUUAACUUGAACUUUAUGGUUGUGUGCAUCCUCAGAUGCAAAGGCCGGUGAUAUAGUCAUGUUCCUAGUUUAAAAAGAACUGCGCACUUUGCUUGCCCCGCCCUCCCCCCAUGCCCAGUUGCAUAUCUCAAAAAUAAUGAACGUUCUAAACUUCCAUCUAAACACUGGUUCUUCCUCUAUUUGUUUCAUGCAUUAGCAGGAUAUUAUGAUGAUCGGAUGCUACCUUGGUUGCAUCUAAAAAUUAAGGAUUCUGGUUCAUGAAGGGAUGGAACAGAUUUUUGAAUUUUACUGGCAUGUUCAUCUUGGUCGUCAGGGGUUCCUUUUUCCAGUUUUGAGAGCUUAGUUGGUGGUUUUCUCUCGCAACUAUUUUGUUCCCUUAACAUUGGACGUGUUAUGGUGAUUCUCUUUGGUGUAAUUAAUUUCACUAGUUCCAACUAUUGUUCUUCUUUGGGAUAGAUAAGUCUUCAGCGCAGAUCAAUCAACUCAGACAAAAAAUCGAUAUUUGCAAAUACUCAAAACGAUCUUAUAUUUUCAUCGUUAGUUGUAGCAAAAGCGGACUAACAAAAUUUCCAUGAUGUUCUUACCGAAGAUGGUACCAAAAGAACAAAAAUGCGCCACAAGUAGCAGCUCCAAUUUAGUAACUACUAAUUCAUUCGCACAAAUUUCUUCAUUCUAUAUUAUAGCUAUUACAACUUCACGAUAUGCGCCACAAGUAGUUUCAGUAUUCACAUCAGCCCAUCUUAAUAGAUUCCCUUAACAACAUGCCAGGUAUCAUCUAGUAUAUUACAUCAACUAGAUCCUCUGUAGGCUACUUGUGGUUAGUAUGAUCAUCUUGUACUUUAGAAUGUUUUAUACCUUUGUUGGCUAUAAUUUGUGUUUUUUUACCUUUACCACAGGUUAUCGCUGUCGUUCUCUUGGUCGGAGUAGCUUUUGAAAUGGUGUUGACUCGAGUAGGUCUUAGGCGUUUAAGUGGACAAUGUUUAGCAAAUGGCCUAUAUCACAGUAGCGAAAGCAUACCAUGUUUUGCAUUUCCAUUUUUGACAAAGACUUUUUUGUGUAGCCAUACCACAUGCAGAGCAUGCAACUCUGGUUGGUACUGAUUCAUUGCCCCCCUUACAUUGGCAUUCAAGGCUACCAUCAUUUGCUUCUGUGAGCUUCUUAAUUGGAGUUACUGUCAUCAUAUUUGCUUCUAUUGUUACCUGGUUUACAACUUCUUGGUAAGCUUCUCGUUGGUGUUGAGUUACUGGGCCAAUGGGAUGUUAGUGAUGCAUUAUUAGAGACCCCAACUACAACUGGACCAGGUAAUGUAUAUUGUUAUGUACAUUUACGAUAAACAGUUUCACAAUUCAAUUGAAGUGAAGAUAAUGUACUUUUUUUCAACAGGAAGUGCGCCUCAACAGCACAUUCUCACACCUAGACGUCUCGAAUUUUCAAUGAUCAACAAUGUAGCUCAUUAUGAUUUUAAUGGACACACUAUAGUCCCUUUGAGCUGCAUAAUUCAAGGAUCAACACAGAACAAUAAUAAAACGAUUUUUGUUGCGGAGAAUUCAGGUACAUUCAAAUUUCAUGAUACGUAAAUGGAAUUUGUGUAAAUUUGUUAUAGUUAGUUGUUCUUACUAAUUUGGCCUUUUCUUUCCAUAUGCAUAGCGAUUGCUUCCUAACUUAACUAUGUUUUUUUGUUUAUUACUAUCUAGCUUGUGUAAGGUUCUUAAUUGCAUUACAUUAAAUUAUAUUUAUAUGUUUCUAUCAUUCUGUGCUGAAACUAAAAAUGAUAUUCAAGAAUUCGUGCCUAUUUUGAGUAUAAUGUGGGUAACAUAUAUUAGUUGUACCAUAAAGUCUGGUACAACAACUCUUUUCUGGAGUGAUCUUUGGAAUGAAAAUAUUAAAUGCCUACAAUACCAAUUUGUAUGCCUCAGCUUUAUACAAGAAUGAUUCAGUGAAGGCUAUGUGUUCAAGAGCCAUGGAGGACUUCUUCCUUCUCCCUCUUUCAGACCAAGCUUACAGUGAAUACCUUCAGUAAGAGAAUGAACUUGCUCACCUUCAAUUACAACAAGGGAAGGGAGACAUCUGGAGUUUUAUUUGGAAUUCUAACAUCUACACAUCCAAAAGGUUCUAUAAGCUCAAUUUCUCUGCACUCCAGAUACCUAGACCUUUUGUUUGGUUGUGGAAGAGUAAAUGUGUAAUGAAAGUUAAGGUCUUUGCAUGGCUUUUGUUAUAGGACAGGUCGAAUACAAGAGAUAUGUUGGACAGAAGGCAUUGUGCAAAAGAGGAUGAUGACUUAACAUGUGUUUCAUGUGAUACUAACCAAAGGAAACAAAGGAGCACCUAUUUUUCACCUGUCCUUUCAGUAUCCGAUGUUGGCAGUUCUUGGGAAUUUCUUGGAAACAUAACCUGGAGUUUUUUCAAAUGAUAGUUUUGGCAAGAUGGCGAUUUUCUCCAAGAGGUUUUCUGGAGAUCUUUUUCCUAGCCUCUUGGCACAUCUGGAAGUAGCGCAAAGGUCUCAUUUUCAGAAAUAUUCAGCCAUCUUUUCAGUCUUGGAAGACCCUCUUUGCAAAAGUUCUUCUGCAUCUCUGCAGAAUGAAUGAUCCACUCAAACAGACAGUAGCUGAUUGGUUACAAUCCUUCUUUUUUUGGCCUCUUUGUAUUUUAUAGCUUCUUUUUUUUGGCCUUUUUUUACACUGAUGGGCAAAUCCCUGGCAGUAAUUUAAGUAAAAAAACAUAUAUUAGUCGUAACGACCACACAAUCACUUCAGCCUAUGAAAAGUGCUAGAAAGACAAAACAGAAUUCACAAGUUCGUGCGCCACAAGCUCUUUCACAAUACCAGUUAGAAUCAAGACGUGCUCGGGAUAGGAAAGUAUGCAUCUAUAACACCAGAACAAAAGCAAGCUAGGCAUGCCCGUCAAAGAUCACGACGUCGGUAUAUGACAGCGGAACAAAAACCAGAGACGAACGAACGCCUUAUGGUUGCAAGGCAAAAUUUACCAGAUGUAGACAUUUUUUAUAUGAAUGCUCGUCAUAGAUCAAGACAACAGAAUGUUAUGCCUGGAGAAAGGAGUACUCAUCUAGCUCGGUGUAAUGCACGCUACGCAGCUAGGCGUGACAAACCAUGUGCGGAGUCCAUCGCAUUUGAGUGUCUCGACGGUUGUAACCCGUCAUUGCUAAAUCUGACAACUUGCUUGCAAACUUGCUUGCAAACAGUUGGUGAUGUGCCAGCUACAUCGACCUUGCAAUUCGAGUCGGCUGCAGAUCAUCAUGCACGAUCAUGCACUGAGGAUGAUGAUACCUUCUAUAAAUGUUUUUGCUCAUACACACAACUUUUAGCCUUCCGCCUACUAACUUUUUAUUCUACUAUAGAUGACUUGUAAUUUGCCCGUGCUAACGCUACGGUAAUAUUUUUUAAUGAAAACCACACAAUUACAAAAUAAUAUCUUUUGCACAAUCGUGAUAUAUAUAGCUAGAAUAAUAGAUAAAUUUGUUAAACAUAGCUAGAUAUGUAAUAUAACAUUGCAUAUAUCCUUUUAUGGGAUUUUGCUAUGCGAGCGAUUCAUACAGCGAUUAGGCCCUUUUUUUAGGCUGGCCGAAAAGUCUAAACCUAAACCUAAAGAAACCAUCAGCAUUUUUAUUUUGUUUUUCUAAAGCCAUAAACCAUCCUUACUGUUGAGGCAAAAGAGUUAGUUUUUUUCUUACGGGGAAUGGAGGUAGGACUCUACCGUUAAACUUAAGGCUAAAAAUUCACCAGCUUAUAAACCAUAUAAGCCAAAGCCAAAGCAAAAAGAACCUAAAUGACCAUGCUAAAUUUCCGUAUUAAGCGUAACAACCAACCGUGCCAUGUGAAAUUUACUCUAAAUCUAUUAUAUUUUAUUAACAUCAGCAUAAUAUUAUAGUCAAACUUGCAUCCUAAGGAAUUAAAAUAAUUCAAUUUUAGCCAAAUGGAGUAAUAAAUUUAAUCCGAUGGUUAAUCUCAAUCAAAGUAUAUGCACAAAAUAUAAAUUAAUUGAAUAUGGGUAGUCCUAUCUCUUUUCCAAAAGGAAAUGUCCUAAAAAUUUUUACAAAUACUUCCAGCUAAUCUUUUUUUCCCUCCAGAAUUUACCACCAAAAUUUCACAUCUAACAAUCAUGCUAAUUUAUCUUCACGUCUCCAACUCUACCAUACGUUCUCAGGCCCCACAUAUCUAAUCUGUCUCCACUCUCCAGCUUGUGUUCCCAGAUACCACAUAACCUAUCAACUUCUCUUUUUCUAAGAGGCUCCAAUAACUCCACCUGAGUAGUGCACCUAGAUCAUAUGCCGUGGUAAGCUUACCAACAUGAUGCAAUGGUGUUUUCCGAUGCCCAUGCUAACCGUACGGUGACGGUUGGUGUUUGGUAAUGCAAAUUAUUAAAAAAAUCAACAUAUAUGCAGUGGCAAUGUAUACUGAAAUACGUAUCAUUCUCGAAAUAUGUUUGACAAGUACUAUAUCAUUCCUCAUCACUUUCUCAUCCUAGACAACACCAAAGUAAAUUUAAAGUUCUCAAAUAAGUACAUAGUAAAACUGCUUCUUAUAAUGACAAAUUUUCUAGUUGAAGAGAAAAUAGGCGAGAAAAUCUUGCCCAUUGAACUCCCCGCUUAAUCUUGUUGUGAGGCAUCAUCUCGAGCGCCUGGUAGGCAGUGGUCUUUCCAUCUAUUCAAUGUCAUGGGUGGUCAGCGGAUCUAAGCGACUACGUCGGGGCUGCUUCAGGAAAGCAAGAUUAUAAAUUGAUGCGUAUUUCAUGGGGCCUUGAUUUUGCUUUCCCAGCAAAAAGAGUAAUGGACAGAUGGAAGGCAUGAGAUAUAUAUAAAAAGGCAAAAUUUAAACUGAGAAGCCUCUCGGUUUAGUGCUAACCAGCAACGAACCAAUUGUGAAAAGUACGGCUACACGUGCUAACGUGCAUGCUGUUAGCACUAUCCAGCUAGCACUCUCGGUGUAGUUGUGUCCAUUAGUGAAAGUACCUGUCGUCUCUGAUGGCGGAUAAUGUGCGAAAAUACGUUCACUUCUUUUCUAUAUAUCGUUGCUCAGAAUUCUUGCUAAUUAUUGAAAUACACAAUUGUUCAGAUAAUAUAUAUUUCCUGAUAUCGGUCAAAACACAUAUUCUUUACUUCUUUUCCCAAGUUGUGACUCCUCAUAGUACAAUAUCUAUAUACUUGAAGUUGCACGUUGUCCAGCUUUGCAUGAGUAAAUGCCAUCUUUGAAUGUCUGAGCAGUAAAUUUUUAUUGUGUGGAAUUGUUUUUUUUAUGGACACAACUACACCGAGAGUAUUAGCUGGAUAGUGCUAAAGAGAGACACCCUUCUUUCAAAAAAAAAGCUACUAGUACACUCAAUAUCUAUGUAUUUUUUCCUUCUUUGAGAAGUUUCUCUUAAAUUACUUAUCCGAUUUAUAAUCCGAUUACGCCAUUGUGUUCAUUGCAAUUAAAUCUUUACAACAAGAUCUCACAUGAUUAUAUUUUGAUGAAAAAUCACAAAUUACUUUUAUGAUAUGUCUAAAUUACUUUUAGAUUUCAUUUACUUCUUAAACAUAUAAAAGUAAAUUCAGUAAGUCUAAAAGUAAUUUAUAUAUAUUAUAGAAGUAACUUAGAACAAAACGAAGGUAACUUUGGCAUGUCAUUUGAAAUAAAUCCGUUGUAGAGAUAAAAACAUGACUUUAUCUAAAAAUUAAAUUAAUCAACACAAAUUAUUGACUUAACUAAAAAGUCAUAUUUUAUCCCUACAACGAAUUUACUUCUAAUAUUAUGACAAAGUUAUUUCCGUUUUGUAUUAAGUUUCUUUUAUAAUAUAUAUAAAUUACUUUUAGACUUUAUUGAAUUUACUUUUAUAUGUCUAAGAAGUAACUUAGUCAAAACUAAAAGUAACUUAUAUAUAUAUGAUAAAAGUAACUUACGUAUAUAAUAAAAGUAAUUUACAAAUAUAAAUAUUUUUUCAUCGUAAUAUAAUCAUGUAAGAUCUUGUUGUGAAGAUUUAAUUGUAACGAACACAAUGGUGUAAUCGCAUUGUAGAUCGGAUAAGUAAUUUGAGAUAAAACUUUAUAAGAAGGAAGAAAAAGACAUGCAUGUCAAAGAGGAAAAACAGCAUGCACGUCAGCACGUGUAGCCGUACUUUUCACAAUUAGUUCGUCGCUGGUUAGCACUAAACCGAGAGGCUUCUCGGUUUAGAUUUUGCCUUCACUAAGGUAGAGCUGAAUAAACUAUAUAGAAGUACUUCAGAAAUAAUCACCCUUAACCAGAAGAACUUGUAGGAGACUAUUGACAAUGCAAAAAAUUCCAUUUUCAUAGCAGUGUAACAGGUCUGGUUGUCAAUAUUUUCAAGAGUUAUAUGUUUGAAGAGCAUAUUUUGAAUUUCCCUUGUAAUGUGCCACACGUUAAUGGAAAAAGCCAUUCCAUUUAUCUUGCUUCUAAAAGUCUGGACUUUUUAAAUCAAUAAAUCAAUAGGGUCUAAUAUCUCAGCACAUAAUCAGCCUAGCAAAAACAAAACUCUGCUCAGUUAUCACAUCUAAGUUCUGAAGUCUGAACAUAUCUGUUCUCUCUGAAUUAGUCCUCUCAAUUCUGAACUUGUCCAUUUAUCUGAAGCACAGAUGGUUAUGACUGAUCUACUUGUUCGAAGUGUUACCUGCGGCUGGGCGAAUUUGCAUAGGUCGGCUAGCGAGAAGCUCUUCCUGCUGCAGCUCAGUUCAGUCUUCCCCAAGGACAGCAUGUAAUCACUGUAAAAACUGUGGCGAGGAAAACAGACACCACGCCCACCAGGUUCAGGACAGCUGGAGUGAAUUCCAGUCAGCAAUGUAUAGCAGCACACCUGAAAUAAAUCAUCGCAAGCCACAUGAAAUGCUGCUGCACAUUUGCUUCAUUCGACCAUUAGAUGAACAUGAGAUUGCAAAGGAUGAUAUUUCGUGUGCAAAAGAAUGCACAUGACAGCAUCGACAGUUUGCUUGUACAACCCAAGCACAUUAUCUUGUGCAACAUCAGAUCCUUGAGAGGCAAAGAAGCUCACCCUCCACAAAAGAACCUACAAUUCAAACCAUAAGUACAUUCAGAAGGAUCCCCAUGGUAAACAAUGUGCAAAACCCAAAACCAAUGUUUGCUGGUCAUACCCAAAGCAAACAGGCCACUGAAGAAAGAUUCAAUAUUACCAUGUUCAUAAAUAAAUUUCGCCUAUUAAUAACUGAAGUAGGACAAUUAUGCUAUAAUAUUUUCCUGAAGUGUGCAUUGCUCUAAAUUUUGCCAAUAUUGCGCUAAUUUCGGAGCAGUAGAAUUUGUUAUAUGCAGUAACUUUGAAUGAUUCGGGAAGGAGAAUAUUUUAUUGUCACACAGUUAUCAGGGUUCACUCUAUCGGUUGAGGCGUUUGUAUCAGGGGUCACCAAAAUUCCGAAAUUUGAAAUUUCGGAAAUUUUGAGUAAAAUUUAGUUGAAUUUGAACAAAUAUUACCCAAAUUCAUGAAAAAAUUGAAAAAGGGAAGAUGCUACAAGAAGAUGCUAGGUUGAUUUGUAUUUAUUCCAAAGGGAAAUUUUGCUACAGGACACUCGUUAUGUGUGGUUUUAGCCCAGGGACACCGCAAAAACGUGGCUUUGGGGAAAGACACGCUAUAAACGUGGAUAUUUGCCGAUGGACACUACGCCGUCUAACUGAAGCCUUCCGUGCUGACGUGGCGGUCGGGAGCCCUUUUUUUGCCUGGUCGGACCUAAAUGCCCCUGCGCUGGGCUGGGACGGCAAGGCGGCCGGCACGGCACGGCGUGGCCGGACGUCGGCGACCCGCGCGCCGUGCCGCGCUACCCGAGCGGCCUGAACCUGCAGCACAGCGUCGAGUACCACCACCACCACCUCCGGCAACCACCACCGCUGCCGCCGUCCAUUUUGGCGCAGAUCAACCACCUUGUGCCGUGCGCGUCGCCGUCUUCUGCUCCAGAGCGCCGUCGCCGGCUUCCUUCUCUGUUCCCGUCCAUCCGGUGGAUCUCAGGCCAAACCACUGCGCCAACGACAUCACCCAGGUCCAAGGAGAAAGACGCCCAAGAAGAUUGAAGCCAAGACGCCACCGAUGUGGAGAUCCCCUUCAUCCUCUCCAAGUCCGGCCGCCGACCUUCUUUGUCGAUUCCUCGCUCCCGGGUGAGUUUCGGCGCAAGUCCUCAUUCAUGAAGCAUCCUUUCUUGGCAGACCGGAGGCUGGAGGAGGCUGUCGCCGUCGCACCACCGUUUUCCACCGCCGCCGGGUCGCUCCACGCAUCGUCGUCGUCGCCCAAGCUUCGUCAGCGCACGCACGACCUUUAGUGAGUCUCUAGGAACCCUAUUGCCGCACAUCCAUGCACACAUUUUGCACAAAUCAAGCCGGAGCUCGACAUGCACAUGCAUACCGAGGUUCGCCGCCGCUUGUGCCACCGUCACCAUCGAUCCCGGCCACCUCAGUCCAUGAAACCACCACCAUUAGAUGCGCAAAAGACUCAGCUACGUUUUCUCUUUUGCUUGCAUUGCGAGAUCGGCCGCCGUUCACCGCCGACGCCGGCAAGAAUCCACCGCGACCACGCCACCUUCAAAAAAAGGUCACAGGGGCAUUUAGGUCCGACCAGGCAAAAAAAAAGGGGCUCCCGACCGCCACGUCAGCACGGCAGGCUUCAGUUAGACGGCGUAGUGUCCAUCGGCAAAUAUCCACGUUUAUAUCGUGUCUUUCCCCAAAGCCACGUUUUUGCGGUGUCCCUAAGCUAAAACCACAUAUAACAAGUGUCCUGUAGCAAAAUUUUCCUAUUCCAAAAGGGAAAAAUCACUUAUUAUCAACCAAACGAAGUCAUAGAAAACUCCUAAUAUAGUACAGUUCACUAUCAACUCCAUGGUGCAUUCAAUAGACCUGAACUAUCUUCUAUUUUUUGAAUGUGACAGAAUCAAAUUAGGAAAACACAAUUCUACUGUGAUCCAAGACAAGCUCAAUGAGAUACCUAGUCAUGCCGUGGUUUGUCAAGGGCAAACAACCAAAGCUAAAAAUUCAGCACACAAAUUUCCUAAACCAAGAACACAUACCAACGUCAAGCACCAGCUUUAACUGUUGGAGCAACCAGUCCAGCUACUCUAAUGACAGAAAGAUUAGAUAAUUCUGAACAAUGUGAACCCAAAUGGCAUGUAAUUCUGAACAUGUAUACAUUAGCACAACUUGGAAAGAUAAAAAAAUGAAUCGAUCGUUGGCUAUCUCAGGCUAGAUCAAGUCCUAAUAAUUUGUAGUCAUGGAUAUGAACGGGACGAAAACAUUAAUUUUAUUUGCAUAGUUUGUACUACGCUUUAACCAUUAGAAAAACAAACACCUUGGAUGAACUUGACAUACCUGACGACGGGAGGGCUUCCGGCGGGCGGGGAUCGGUGGCGGCGCCAGUGGUUGGGUGGAGCGCGCCGGAGACCUUCGGGACGGGGAGACGGCAGUUAGGGUUGGGAAUCGUGAGGGUGAGGAGAUGCGAGUGGCGGUGGUGCGAGACUGACCUGCGGGGAGACGCUGGCGAGGGCGAGCCGGUGGCCCGACGACAGCGAUGGGGAUCGGUGGCAGCGAGGAACAGCUCGGCGUGGAAGGCGUCGGCGGCGACGUGAAUCUUGGACGACGACGGAUGCAACAACGGCGAUGGGGAUCGGUUGAGGGCGAGCAAGCGGCGGGGAUCGGUGGCGGGGAGACAACGGAUGCGACGACGGCGGAGCGGCGGCAGUCAAGGGCGGCGACGGUGGUAGCGCGGGGAUCGGUGGCGGCGAGACGACGGAUGCGACGACGGCAGAGCGGCGGCAGUCGAGGGCGGCGGCGAUGGUGGUGGCGCCGCGUCCCACGUGAGAGGGAGAGAUUAGGGGGCGGCGGCGCGUGAGAGCGAGAGAGAGAGGGGGUGGAGAGGAGGGCGCAAUCGAGGGAGGUGAGAGGUGGUAGCGAUCUAGACCGUUGAGAUUUCACCGAGAUGAUCCUGACCGUUCCAUGAGUAAUGAAAGAAUGAGUGAUGAGUGAAACCAUUUGUUAAACUAUAGGGUAGAUAUGGAUUCCUUUGUGAAGGAUAAAACCGACAACCAAUACUACUUCCUCUGUUUCAUAUUAUAAGACUUUUUAGCAUUAUGUCUAGAUUCAUUAACAUGCAUAAGAACGUGGGCAAUGCUAGAAAGAACGGAGGGAGUACAUGUUUGCAAGGCUAGGCACCUUACUGAUGCAAACAAAUACAUAUUUUUCCUACUCUAACUCAUUUGUGCAAACAAAUCCUAGGCGACGAUGAGGAUGCCCAGAUGGUAGAAUCCGAUGACGAAGACAAGCAAGCACCGACCUCUUCCAUUCCUGAUAAGUUCAACUGUGUACAGCAACAUUCCACGUAGCACAAAUGUUCUAAAUCCUCAACUCCUCGCCCUGGAAACUUUAAUAUUUUUGUUUCAGUGGUAGAAUCAACUAUUGUCUCUGUUUUCCAGGUACGAUAAUAUAUUGUUAGUGCUUUGAUACUAGCACUCAGUCAGCCAAACAUCUUAAUGCGCUCAUAAAUGUAAUAUUGUUGAAUUGUGUUAUGCAUUAGGUCUGGGGCCGAAUUACUUAGUCUGUCGAUGCAAAUGGAUGGGGUAUUGCUUAUCACUUACCAGAGCACUGCAAAGUGCCCAAGUGGCUACGGCAGAGAGAACUGUAUGAUCACAGCUUAUACAUGUUCAAAUCUUUAGGUGGUGAUUUAUAAAGUUUUGCCUGAGCAUCAGUUUUACUAUUUUGAUCACAAUUUGCAACCUAUUCUCUUGGCACGGGAGUGCUUAUAUUAAAAAUAGGAACAAAGUAACUGCAUAUAUUUUCAAAUGGCUAGAGUUUUAUAUUUUUACUAGUGUUAGUGAUAUUCAUGAUAAAUAUUGGCUUGCAAACGUCAUCCCUUUGACUAUAAUUUGCGUCGUUUUUUACCUUCACCACCUGUUGUUGGUGUUGUUCUCUUGGUCAGAAUAGCUUUUGGAAUGGUUUUGUCUUGAGCAGGUGUCUGAUGUCUAAGUGGACAUCGAUUAGCAAAAUGGCCCAUCUCAUUGCAGCUGAAACAUACGACAUUUUUCGUUUUCGAUGAAGCCUUUCGUGUCUUUGACAUACACUUGGCUUUAUAGGAGGCUGCUUCACCUUGCUCACCACAAGCAGAGCAUGCAACUUUGGAUGCUGAUUCACUGCCCCUUUUACAUUGGUAUUGAAGGCUACUAUCAUCUACUUCUCUGAACUUCUUAACUGGAGUUACUAUUAUCUUAUUUGUUUCUCCUAUUACCUGUUGUAUAACUUCUUGGUAAGCUUCUCGUUGAUGUUGAGUCACAGUAGUGAGUAUUGAACUCAAGGGGCAUUUAAUUGGGACAUGAUCAUCACCUUCACAAAGGUAACAAGUGAGCUUGCUCAUGGGGCACUCUCCGAGUAGAUGGCUUUGUUCACAGCUAGAGCAGCUGAUUUCGUGCUCGCUGGCGCUGUGUCCAAUCUCCCCACAACGAGCACAUGCACAGUUUCUUGGCUUGUUCCGUGGGCACCACAUCAGCUCAUAGCGAUAGCCUUGGCUGCAGAGUGUGCAAACACCAUCCUUUGUGUGGUCCUUUGUUUUAAUAAACCCUGGAGAAACAUCCAUAUAGUGCAAAAUAGAAGAAAACUCAGCCCAACUGAUGGCUUGUGGGUCUUUAUCGGUUGCACAAUAACCUUUCCAACAUUCCAAUGCAGCUCCUUGUAACUGAUGAGCAGCAUAGAAUACUUUGUUCUUCUCAUCGCAUUGCACCAUAUCUAAUUUGUUUUCAAUGGUGCCAAGCCAUUGGUCAGUAUACCAAGAUGUGGCUGAUCCUGCAAAAGUGGGUGGCCUUGUUUUCAUGAACUCUGCAAACUUGUGACAAUAGCGUGUUGAUGUGGUCACAGUAUCUGGGGAUACGAUUUUGGCACUAUUGUCAAUCAUCUGUUGCUUCAUCAUAAUUUUUCUAGGGAGAAAUUGAUCAGAUUGUUGAACUGUCACUGGCUCACUGCAAGGACAGAAAGAUGGUUGCUAAUCACCGUUAACAUUCAGGUUGGAGUUGGUAAUAUAAUUGACUGCCAUGGGAUACCUCAACCUCACUGAUGCGGCUGCCAAUGCAACUCUUCACCAUCUGUUGAUCAUCCAAGGUUCUGUAGUUGAGAAACAAAGUAUGGAUAAGAGUGAGAUAAUUCUAUCGCUAUUUAAACUUUAAAACAAAAUAAACCAAACAGAAUCAGGAAGACUUGCCUGAUUCAGAACAAAAGAAAAUAAGGAAAAAUAUAUUAAAAUACAAUAUUAUGUUCUAAUGAUUUAAGGUUCCAAUGCAGCUAAACAAGCUUAUCCUUAUGACCACUCAAAAAUGCAUUUACUAAUCACUGAAAGUGGAUGCUGGUAAGAGCAAGUUCAAUAGUAGAGCUCACAACUAGCUAUAAGUUCAGGCAGUGUUUGGCAAAUGUCUAAGGGAAAUGAUUUCACACCCCUCUUUAAAUCCUAACCCUUCAUUCUCCCUCAUCCAUUUAAUCCUAACCCUUCAUUCAUUUCCCAAUCCCAAUCCCACCCCUCAUUUCCCAUUAUCCAAACACACCCUCAUUGUAGAGUCAACAUGUAUAAUAGGUUAGCUAUAUUAGCUGUAUUUUUUUCCUCCUCUCUCUUUCUUUUAUUAUGAAUUUAAUGCAUAUUUCUUGAAGCAUGUAUAUAGCUAGCUCUUGCAUGAGAGCCACCACUUCCCACUUUUUCUUUCUCUCUCUUCCACAAAAGCAUAGCUUGCUUAUAGCUAUCCUUUCUCUAAUACAUAAGGUCUCUUCAUUGCCUUACACUCUACUAAAGUCAAACUAAGGGAACAUAACUCCUUUGACCAUCUACAGAAGUUACAGGGUAGACAUGGUCCAAAUAAUAAUAUAUCACACUAAUGGUUGACUAAUAAGAUAAUAAUUCAAUCCAAUGUAAAAGAAGAACUGGAAAGAUGACAAAAGGAUCAUGGUAUCAGAACAAUUAAGUUUAAACUUUUUAAAAAUGCUUUGUAAAAUUGACAAUUAUAUGAAGGUCAAGACCUACAUAUGACAUUGUCUUGACUAAAAGUUUAGAAAAUUUGCGUUUUAUCUUCUUUUUUUCUUGUUCAGCAGUCCAGGACAUGAUAGUACAACCUCCCGAUACACAGCUUUUCAAAUCUCAAGGAUGUCCUAACACAAUGGGUUCACAGAUUACAGCAAGGAAAAUGACAGCAGUCUGCCAGCAAACAGUGGUGUGACGGUGGAAAAUCAGUCACCCUUGUGAUCAUGGAACAGAGACAAGACGGUCUAAAAGACUAAAUUAUUCAGGCAAAGUGGAGUUAGAAAUGGCUGACAAUGGGAAGCGGUGAUGACAACAUAGUUCUAUGCCAGAGUACCGACAAUAGGACAAGGACAUCCCUGUAACUAGGUUUGGGCGAUUCACACAUCUUGCAGUGGACAGAUUAGUGACAUCACAAAAUGAAUUGGCAUGAUGAUGAUACAUUAGUGACAGAGAUAAUAGAGAAACACUGUUCUAGGAAAUGGUGAUAUGCACUCCAAGUAUAAUACUCCCUAUAAUGAGGCUAAUGGCAAAGGUGGCUUUGGUUCCUAUCGGUAGUUAUGUGAAAAAACAAAUUUGGUUGAUAACUAUGAUUCUCAUGAUAGUGGAAUACAAACUGACAUGGAUGGUGUCUAGAGAAACUCAUCAAAGCAGCAAGGACAUGUUAGAGCAUGGCUUAAAGACAGACACGAAGUGAGUGAUGAACGAAUAAAUUGCAAUAAUAACUUAUCAUUGUGAGAGACAAACCAAGGUGAGCCAUUCAGAGUUACAAUUCACACAAGAGCAUGACGAUAAGUCCCCAUCCUGUAGGACUUCUCCAAGAGAGCAGUAUAGACAGGUUGACAUAUUGAUCUUCUAGUUGAACAAGCUCUUGAUUCAAAUAAUCCAAAACUGGGUAAAACUCGUUCCUCAACCUCUGAUAUCACUAGGUAGAACUCCAAAACCAUUAGAAAACAAAGGUCUACCUAGUUUUGGGAGUUGGGGGCGAGUUUUACCCAGUUUUAGAGCUGAGGCUGUGUUUUACUUUUAGAACAGGAUGUGUGGAGCGUUUAUAGAGAGAUUCUACAGGGCGGACUGGUCCAGGUCCACAGAAGAGUUAUUUGUGGAUAUUGUAGGAAGAGCUGGAUCAAAGAAAAAGGGUUUCCUGAUUAGUCUUUUUGGAGUCAUCUGUUCGAGCUUCUGAAAAAGUAGAAGUAACAUGGUCUUCCGGCAGCAAUUGGUAGGGAGUUGUCCUACGUCUACAAUUUGCACUUAUUUCUCCUUUUUGCAACACUGGCAAAUCCUGGCAAGGCCGGAGACAAAGCAAGACCAAUCAUCAAGAUGGUCGAGGUGGCAAAGUGAACCUAAGGUGUGUGCUGCUAAGAGAGACUCUGUGCACUGCUGCUAGAGCUGAAGUUGGUUGAUUGAUCUUGAAUUUGGGAGGAUCUAAUUAAGGUGUGUGAGUGUUCCGUUAGUUGUUCAGGUUACCAUGUUAAUAUUAAAGAAAACUGUCAGACAGGAGAGAUCUUGUUGCACCCUGGUCGUUUUGGGAAGUGGUGCCCCUAUAUGUGCGUGUUUUUGAAAGCUGGAAUCGCUUCUAUUUGACAUGAAGAGAUCAGAUGUAUUUUGGUCAAAGAUAGACUUUAAUCCUAUCACUUGUAUGAUUCAAGGGUAUUUUGUUCUCAAGUGCUUCAGAUGAGGCAACAAUCCAAAAACCAUAAGACCAGCAUUCACAACCACCUCAUUUUCAGCUGUAGAAGUUUCAGCAUAGCAAUUUUCUUCUCGAAUGCUUCAGGUGAGGCAACAAUCCACAAACCAUAAGACCACCAUUCACAACCACCUCACCUUCAGCAAUAGGAGUUUGAGCAUAGCAAAUUUAUGAGUGAUGAUUUGUCAUAUAAACAUUUAAGUGUGAGUGUGUAUCAUUGUGCAUAGUGUUCUCUACUAACAAAGAAUAUCAUCAAUCCAUGAAUACUAUACUUCUUAGACCUAGGUCAAUCAAAGAAUAUCAUUUUCAGUAUCAAGAAGAUUAUAAUUAAUGAUAACUUGAGCUCAUAACUAUCUGUCAUCUCAUCAAAAAAUAGAAUUACCAAAUCCGAAUAAUCCCA
This 61367-nucleotide long non-coding RNA is filed under the name Oryza sativa (Asian cultivated rice). RNAcentral's name for it is "long non-coding RNA (OSAT_LNC001600)". Lineage: Eukaryota; Viridiplantae; Streptophyta; Magnoliopsida; Poales; Poaceae. The record is from RNAcentral.